Molecule: long non-coding RNA, 59091 nt
Filed under: Citrus x clementina
Lineage: Eukaryota; Viridiplantae; Streptophyta; Magnoliopsida; Sapindales; Rutaceae
Description: Citrus clementina (C. clementina) long non-coding RNA (CCLE_LNC000530)
Source: RNAcentral
UCCAAUCAUCCUCGAAAAUAAUAUCUUAGUAAUAAUUAUGAUUUUCUUCCGUUACCAAAAGACUUAGGUAGCGUUUGUUUUUUUGUCUGAAAGCUAAAUGAGUUUGAAUUUUUCUAAAGUCUGAAUGGGUUUGAAUAAGAAAAUUUGAAUGACAUGUUUGUUUUUCUUUUUUUAAUAUCUUAAUAUAAGUGGCAUCUUGUUUGUUUUUACAAUAAAAAACAUCUUAAACUUAGUUGUUUUCCAUUUAUGUUCUUGAAAAUUAAAACAAAAAAAGAGAAUUACAUUUUAUAAUUUAGGAAAUAAGUUAUUUUACAGAAAUAUUUUUGAAAUAUAAUAUUUACUUGUCAUUAAGAUAUUUUCUCAUUCAGAUAAAAAUCACAAAAAUUUACUUUUUCUAUUCAGAUGUAAAUGUCUGAAAAUCAGAUAUAAGUUCUAAAAAACAAACAAGUAAAUUUUAGAAAAUGUAUGAAAUUAAUAAAAUUUCAUAUUUUAGACAUUUAAUAAACCUCUUAGUGCUUCAGGAGAGCAAGAAGAGAAACAAAGAGUGAAGAUGCAAUAACAGCACCGGAAACCGGCAGAGAGGAGGCUGCUCCGGUGUCCGAUGAAGGAGCCGGUGCCGGCGCCAUCUCGGUGCUUUGAGCUGAAGCUGCAGCCAUUGCAAGAGCUGCCAAAACGAACAUCAUCAUAACGGACUUUAAGCUGCUAAUUUGCGCCAUCUAUAUUGAUAUUAAUUGCUGAAGAAAAACAAGAAGCAAGAACUAUAUAUGAAAAUAAAGAAUUGAUUCAGUAAGCAAGUUAUGGGCAAUGGCUCCGUUAAAUGUUAGGUGGUGCUUAUAAUUAUAUAGUGAGGUGUAUGCGCGGCUUGUGGAGCACGCUUUGAUCUGUGUGACAGCAAACGUGUUGUGUUUGGUUUGGUUUUCGCCGCAAAGCGUAUCUUGACAGACUCAGAUUGGUUGGAACUAAAAACAUGGGACCGAGUGGGAUCUGGAACACGUUGGCACGUGGUAGUUGGACUGACGAUGUUGACCAUUGUUAAGUCGGUAAACGGUUGCGUGCCUUAAAUAUGUAGUUUACAAGCAUGUGUAAUGAAUUGAUUAGAAUCUACAGAUUGACAGUGGGUAAAGAUCAUUAAAUUAAAAUAUAUAUAUAUAUUGAAGGGGCUCCAAGUCCUCCAUUUCUAAGAAAUGAUUCGUUCCUAAAGUUCUGAGUAUCCAUCUUCUAUUUAUUGAUGGCCCUUUGAUGUUUAACUUAGAGUUUGAUUUAUAAAAAAAUAUUAGAGUAAUUUGAAGGAUAAGUCUUACUCCUCUAAUGAUCUCUCUCUCAUUUGUUAGAUGAGAAAAUGGUCGGCCACUACUAGUUAGAAUCUUGAUAUGUUAUCUAUUUAUAUAGCACAAUCUUAGAUGAGAGUUAUUUUUUUUCCCCUUAAUUCCUUCCUUGUCAUUAUUUUUAUUUCUUUUUAAUUACUUAAGGUCAUGGAUACAUAGUUCAAUAAGAAUUUGCUAUACAAAUUUGGCAAUAGAGAAGGACUUUUGUGAGGCUAUCUGAGACAGUCUAGUAGUGUUUUAUCAUGUGACAUAACAGUGAUCUCAUUAUGAGAUCAACAGUAAUUCUUAUAACAAGAUCUAUUAAAUUUAAUAUUAAAAAUAUCAGUGAAUCUUACAAUAGAACUCAUCGCUCUGCCAACUUUAAACUGUUUCAUUACCUCAACAUGCUGAGCUAAUAAGACAGUUCCACACAUAAUUUUUUUCUUGGCAAACUCAGAAAGUUUUAAGAGGUGCCACCAUGUGUAUGUAUUGUAUAAUCUACAAUUUUAUAAACAUAUAAAGCCAAGAGUUAAAAAGACACCCAACCCACAGGAUUUGUGCUGAUGCACGGUAGUCUUCCAUUUGUUUCAAGAGUGAAUAGACAAAUAUUCAAGAAAUAAAAAUAUUUAUAUACGAGUCAUCAUAUAAUAUAGGAUCCUGAUCUAUUUUUCGCAGUCGUUUUAUCACUUCCCAAAUGAAAGCUAGACACCAGUUAAUGUACUGCCUUAAUUGCUCCAUUAACCAAACCUGUCAGUGCCUACAGACCUCCAAAACUGGAACUGGAUAUCAUGAUUAUAUAUGUUUAUACGCUGCUCACCAACCCGUAGACCAAUCAUCACCAACACGUAUAUAUAUGCUGUACCUGCACGUGGCUACCUCAGACGAAAAGAAGCUCUUAUAUAUAACCAUCACAAACGUUGAACCGAACCACUUGUAAGCUCGGAUAGCAGUUUCAAGUUCUUCAACACUUUAACAGUAUAUAUAUAUAAUACAAUGGCGACAGUUAGUAACUCAAAAAAGGCCGUGAAUGCGAUGAUGGGGUUGGUUUUGGCAACUUUUGCAAUGGCUGCUUCCGUGUCGGCGCAAAGUACCGAGAUGGCGCCGGCGCCGGCUCCUUCGAUGGACACCGGAGCUGGCUUCUCUCUGCCGGUUUCUCUUGCCGUCGUUGGUUCUUCCCUCGUUUUAUCUCUUCUUGCCCUGUUGGAGCAUUGAAUGGAAAUUCGUUGUGUGUUGAAAAAGAGGUUGUAUUUUGAGGGAAUGGAGAUACAUAUAGUAUUGCAUUUAUUCUUUGCUUUUUUUAUCUAUCAAUAUUUGUAUUAUUAAUGAAUUAUUAAUUAAUAAUAUUUCAUCUUUUUUUUUCUCACUUUAUUCAUUUGGUUUUUCUUCUUUACUACUGAGAAAAAAAAAUCUAUAAAAAAUCUUAAUUUCCAUUAAACGGGCCCAUUGAUGACUCAUUCUUUUAUUUUUUUGAUAAGAAUCUGUAGGCAUGCUGUUGCAAAUUUCUUGUAUCAAAUAAAAAAUAAUUAGUUAACAUCUCUUAAAACAAAAUUGCAUUUCUCGUAAUUUUUUAAAUUGGUGGGAACUAAUUAGAGCGUGGGCUUAGCAGAUGAUUUUACAAAUUGAAGAGCAAAACUGAAAUUAAUCCUUAAUCUUGGCAAAUAAACUCAAGCUCUUCUGCCCCUAGAGGUGCUUGAUUUAAUAGUUUUUAAACAGUUUCAUUUAACCGAUUAAGAGACAAUAAGAAAUUAAAAUCUCAAAAUCUCAACUGGAUCCCAUUUCAACCAUUUUUUUUUUAAUUUUUAAUUUUACAUCAAAUUUUCAAAUUCAAUAUUCUGAUCUACUUGUAAAUUAGAUCUUUGAUAAAACAACUGUACUAGAGAAUUAGCAAUUUUAAUUGUAUCUUGGGUGUUUUUCAGUUCAAUUUCGAAUCUUUUUAAAAUAUCAUCCAAAUGUCAAUUUAUUAUUAAUUAGAAUAUGGUAAGCGAAAUAUUUAGACUAUUUGGGACAUUGAUACGAGACCCGUACACAUUUUAAAGAGAUUCCGACCCAUCUCAUAUUCUCAUACCAUUACCAUCUGUACUAGAUCUUGGAUCCAUUUGUAUACACAUGUAAUGCCUAUUUCAUUAUUUUACAUGGAAUAACAAAGUCUAAUCUAAUUUGAGAGUGUACGUAUCUUUUUAUUAAUUUAUUUCCUUAUUUUAAUAGAUAAUGAUAACCUAAUAUAAAUUGUGGAAUUUCUUUCCAUCUAUAAUUAAGAAGAAAUUGACACCUGCAAUAUACGUUAACUUUCCUUGUUAGAUAUAAUAUAUUAAAUGCAUCUAUUAAAUAAAGCAUAUGAAUUGGAAAAAUACUCAUCAUUCAUUAUUUAUCUCUCUACAUUUGGUUAGUGAUAUUAACUAAUAUAAUAUUAAUGAAUCAUUUUUUAUAAUCUUAAACUAUUUUUCUUCUCAUUUGAAAAAUUACAUCAGUACGUAGUAAAGAUUUUAAAAUUCCUUUUAAAUAAGAUUAUUCUCCUUUCUUAUCAAUAUUGAAAAGUGAUUGUUUUCUCUUCAAAUAAUAUUAUAUUUUUUAUAUUAUCAAUAUUGAAAAGAUAGAAAUAAUAUAAUUAUAUUAUUGAAAAUAAUACAAUUUAACAUAAAUUUAUUUUUAUUUAAAGAGUAUUUAAAAAUUUUUAUUUUUUCACUCUUCUAUUUGUCACAUAUUUAAGUAAAUAAGUACCUAAAGAAAUAUUAAAUGAACCAUUUGGAGAUAUUUUCACUUUAUAUUAUUAUUUGAACAAGUGUAAUCUAAUCAUAAUUUUAAGUUCCGAUUGUCCAACUUUAAUACCAACUCAGUCCUUAACUUGUUCUCGUUGGAAAUUAACGUACUACUUAAAUAAUAAUAAUAAACUACAAGUGAUUGAACUCAAAAGAAAAACCAAAUGAAUACAGAAAGAAUAAGUAUUAUUAUGUCAUUAAUAGUAUGAAAUAUGAAAAGAACAAAUAAAUAAUUCAAUACAUUAAUCUCCAAUCAUCCUCGAAAAUAAUAUCUUAGUAAUAACAAUGAUUUUCUUCCAUUACCAAACGACUUAGUGCUUCAGGAGAGCGAGAAGAGAAACAAACAGCGAAGAUGCAAUAACAGCACCGGAAACCGGCAGAGAAGAGGCUGCUCCGGUGUCCGAUGAAGGAGCCGGUGCCGGGGCCAUCUCGGUGCUUUGAGCUGAAGCAGCAGCCAUUGCAAAAGCUGCCAAAACGAACACCAUCAUGACUGACUUUAAGCUGCUAAUUUGCCCCAUCUGUGUUAAUAUUAAUUGCUGAAGAAAAACAAGAAGCAAGAACUAUAUGUGAAAUCAAAGAAUUGAUUCAGUAAGCAAGUUAUUGGCAACGACUCCGUUAAAUGUUAGGUGGUGCUUAUAUAGUGAGGUUUAUGCGCGGCUUGUGGAGCCCGCUUCUGAACUGUGUGACAGCAAACUAGUUGUGUUUGGUUUGGUUUUCGCUGCAAAGCGUAUCUUGACAGACUCAGAUUGGUCGGGACCGAGUGGGAUCUGGAACACGUUGGCACGUGGUAGUUGGACUCACGAUGUUGACCAUUGUUAAGUCGGUAAACGGUUGCGUGCCUUAAUCAUGUUGUAUACCAAGCAUGUGUAAUGAGUUGAUUCAUAUCUACAGAUUGUUUGUGGGUAAAGAUCAUUAAAUUAAAAUAUAUAUAUGUUCACCAUCGCUGAUGUUGCCACGCUACAUUAUCCUUUAAUUUUCUAAUAGAUUUUUUAAAUUAAUGAAAAAAAAGAAAAAUCAAUGCAUUAAAUUGUACCAAAUGUUAAUCUAUUUAAAUGCUGAACAUUAAUUAACUAAUUAGCAGUGAUAUUAGAACAGAGUAAGUGUACAAGGAUAGCGUAAAUAAUAAUUAUAAUUUCGUUUGAGUUUAAAUAUUUUAUUUAUAAAAUUGUAACCCCACAUCGAAUUAUUUUAUCCGUUUAUCAUAUUUUUCUUGUUAAUUUUCUUUUUCAACAAUCUUAAACCACUUCUUCAGUCUGAUCCUACUAUAUAAGAGUAACAAUUGGUGACCGACCGUUGAGCCUACCAGGUCGUCAUUUGUCAAGGAGAAUACGGUCAUUUCAUGAUACGAAGUUCGUAGAAAACUGUAAGAACACUGAAGUUUAUUCUUCUAAGCUUUACUUUCUUGGCUUAGAAGAUUGCGACCCUUUUUAAUUCUGCGCUGGUCACCUGCACAUGGGCUUUGGUAUGGACUCCCAUCACAACAUUAUUCACGCUCAACUGACCAUACAUGUUCCCACGUGUCCAGCUGCUUUAUACGCUGCUGACCAACCUGUAGACCAAUCAUCACCGACCACGUAUGUAUACGCGGCGUUGCUGUACCUAUACGUGAGUAGCUCACACGAAAAGAAACUCUAAUAUAAUAUUAAAUAUUGAACCAAAUCACUUGUGCUCAGCUCGGAUAGCAAUUUCAAGUUCUUUGAACACUUUUAACAAUAUUAUAUAAAAUACAAUGGCGACAGUUAGCAGCUCAUCAAAGGCCAUGAAUGUGAUGAUGGUGUUGGUUUUGGCAACUCUUGCAAUGGCUGCUUCCGUGUCAGGGCAAAGUACCGAGAUGGCGCCGGCGCCGGCUCCUUCGAUGGACACUGGAGCUGGCUUCUCUCUGCCGGUUUCGCUUGCCGUCGUUGGUUCUUCCCUCGUUUUAUCUCUUCUUGCUCUGUUGAAGCAUUGAAUGGAAAUUUGUUGUGUGUCAACAAAGAAAAGAGGCUGUAUUUUGAGGGAAUGGAGAUAUAUAUAUAUAUAUAGUAUUCCAUUUAUUCUUUGCUUUUUUUUUUCAUCAAUAUUUGUAUUAUUAAUUAAUAAUAAACGGACCCAUUGAUAACUCAUUCUUUAAUUUUUGUGAUAAGAAUCUGCAGGCAUGCUGUUACAAAUUUCUUGUAUCAAAUAACAGAUAAUUAAUUAAGAUUUCUUAAAACAAAAUUGCAUUUCUCGUAAUUUUUUUUACUUUAAAUUGGUGGGAACUAUUUAGAGCGUGGGCUUAGCAGAUGUUUUUACAAAUUGAAGAUUAAAACUGAAAUUAAUCCUUAAUCUUGGCUCCGCAAAUAAAAGCUCAAGCUCUUCUGCCCCUAGUGGCGGUGCUUGAUUUAAUAGUUUCCAAACAGUUUCAUUUAACUGAUUAAGAUAUAAUAUGGAAUUAAAAUCUCAAAAUCUCAAUUGGAUCCCAUUUCAACCAUUUUUGUAUUUUUUUAAGUUUACAUCAAUUUUUUUUCAAAUUCGAUAUUUUGAUUUAUUUGUAAAUUAGAUCUUUGAUAAAACAAUUAUACUAGAGAAUUAGCAAUUUUUAAUUGUAUCUUGGGUGUUUAAGUUUUCAUUUUAAUUUCAAAUAUUUUUUAAAAUAUCAUCAAAAUGUCAAUUUAUUAUUAAUUAGAAUAUGGUAAGUGAAACAUUUAGACUAUUUAGGACAUCGAUACGAGGUGAGGUCGGUACACAUUUGCUACCACCAACAUGAUGCUGAUGAAGAAGAUGAGUUAUGUCCAAAUACUUUUUAUGGUCACCCUCGUGUUCACACUGCACCUUGUAAGUUUCCCCAGGAUCCCAAAUUGAUGUUUGAAGUCUGCUCGUUCACAGUUAAUGAACACACUAUUAUUCUUUCUUUAGUUACCAUAUUACUGUUAUCCAAUACAAUCUCACUCACUCGUUACGUGCAUUAGUCUUCAUUCAGUGCUAUUUUUGGAUAAUUGAUUUUGUAAUAAUAAACAGAGGAAAGAAAUAAUUAAACGCAAGAAACACAAACGUUUUAUUACGAAAAACGUAACCAAAUAACAAAGAAUCAAUCCAAUAUACUCGAAGCAACAAAAAUUACAAAUAGUAAUAAUAAUAACAAUAGUAAUCUAAUGCUUCAAAAGAGCCAUGAGGGAGAGAACCAAAGAGAAUCCAACGACUGAACCAGAAACCGGCAGAGAAAACCCAGAUCCGGCAGCGGGGGCCGGCGACGGCGAAAUUUCCUGAGCGGAGACCGUGAAGACCGUCAUCGCCAAAACGACGAGCAAUGCAAUAGAGACGCUGCUGAUUUGGGCCAUUUUUUCGAAUCGAAAGAGCACGAAUGGAGAGAAUGAGAGAAGAUUGUGGUUUUUUUUUUGCCUUUUCUGCAGACGGUGGUUAGGGUUUUCGGGAGCGGGCGAGUAUUUAUAGGGAUACGAUCUGCGGCGCGUGGGGCCGACACGAGAGAGUGGACAGCUGGCGAACUCAACGUUCACAUUACAGCUCAGCAUCACAACAGUGCAGGUGAGUUGUGUGCCGUGUAGCUUGUAUGGUUGUAUUUUGCUUGUUCGGUAUGAUUGAGUGGGGCCAUUGUCGGUGGGCUGGUGCGGCGCCGUAUGGGGGAGCAGUGGUUUUGAGCGACACGUUUCAAAAAGUGGUUGGUCUUGCAAAUCUGUGACCGUUGCCUCUAUGGGCCCAAUAUGGCCAACAUAAAAUUUGAUAAACGAACCCCAUUUAUUUACCAAACGCUCACCUAUCCUUUCAAUGUUUGUUAUCAUUCUUCUGUUAAUUAAUGCCCAUCUCUUUAUAAUAUUGAUAGAAAAUCUGUUCCAUUUCUUGAUUAUCUAUCUAUUGCAGUACAUAUUAAAUUUUUAAUUGACAAUUAAUGCAUAAUAUAUUAUUGACAUAUUAAAAUAAAGACAUAACAUUUGAAAGGUUUUUUGAAACACACAUUUUUAUCUGUAUUUGGUUGUGAUUUAUUUAUUUAUUAUAUAUGUGUUUUAUCAACUAUCAAUCUCGUGAUUGUAUUUGCUCAGAUAAAGUAUCAAAUCAUGAGAGAAUUUUUAUGCUUUGUCGUAACAUAUAAUUGAUUGAAAUAACGUAUGAAAUAAAAAUAAAUUAUGUGUCCUAAUAUGUUUUCAAUUUAAUCAAUUGUAAUAUGUUAUAUCAACUCCUUUCAAAUAAUGUAAAUUAAACGAUAGUGUUUUAAAUAUUAUAGACAUGUUCUAAAUUUUUGUAGAUUUUUGUAAAAAAAAAUAAUAAUAAUUUGAUUUUUUUAGGAAAUGUGAAAAUAUUAUGGGUUAAAAGAUGAUGAUGAUUUAUGUCUUAAGAAGUACACAUAAGGAAAAUUUACAAAAAUGACCCAUAAGGCAAAUAGGCAAAAAAAAAAAAAAAGGGGGGGGGGGGCAUUUAAGCAAUUCAAAAUCAUUUAACUCAAUCACACAGGACGUUUAUACAUUAAUCAUGAUACAUUAUAAUGACCAAAACAAAAAGAUAUUAAUAAAUCAAAAGAAGAAGCAAAUCACAGCACAAUCCAGCAACAAAAUCAAAACCGUCCUCUUUAUGUAAUACCACAAGAAAUGAUAUACAUAUGAACCCAUCAUCCUCACAACUCCGAUAUCUCACUCAAUGCAAGACAAAAGCAACGAGGGAUCCCACAACGGAAGAAACUAUCAGAGCCCAACAAACCGGCAAAGAAAACCCGGCUCCGGCAUCCAUCGCCGGCAAAGGAGCAGCAGGGCUGUCUUGUGCCAUAGUUGCAGAUAUAUAGAACAAUGCCAUGAUCAUGAUCGCCGCAAUGUGACCGAAAAUUGAGCCAAAUUGUGCCAUUUCCGAAAAGGUUUUGAUAGAAAAAUGGGAUAAAGCUCAGAGAGGCUACUAAAAGAAAUCAGGACUCGAGUAAUUGUUGAAUAAUUUGUGUGUAUAUUUUGAAAAAAAAUGGAUGAAACUUUGAACUAUUUAUAAAUGGGGUAAGGUCUUAGGUGGCAUGUAAUACAAAAUAUUUUUUCCGUGAAAUUCAGGUUCCACAUUCAUCGUUGUACGUGAAAAGCGUUCGCCCAUCAUUUUCCGUCAUCUUGGGCCUGGGUCAAGAUAAGGGCCCAUUGCUGAUUAAGGUAUAGGGUUGUGAUCCAGCGUGGGCACCACGAAGUAGUUGAUCAACGGUUGUUAAUAGAUAGUCCAACACGUGGCAAUAAAUGACUAGAUCCGUUUUUCAGAUCUCAUGUGGUACGGUUCACCUUAUGGUCCAAUUUUUCUGCAGUUGGGCACUCACUUUUGCUUUUACUUGUGUGAUUUAAUCUUCUUUUUAUAUAUUUAAGCUACCUUUCUUUUUUUUUUUUUUUCUUUUGUUGAAGUCUAAAAUGAAUCGGAUUAAUCUAAGCUCAAAAUAAUUCAGUCCAAAGAUACCAAUUAAGGGGGGGAAAAAUAAAAAAAGGUAGCAUAAUGUUAAAUGAGUCAACUAUGAACACUAUAAUUUAGACAGAACAUAUGGUUUUAAUAGGUCUUAUGUAUCUUAAAAACUUAUAAUAUUGCAAGAAUGUGUACACCAUAUGGACACAAUUAAUUUUCUCGUUAUUAUAUUAUAGGGAAAGGUGGCAAAUGAUCAUCACAAAAUUGAUUUGUUGCGGCUAAAAUAAGUGACGCCUCCGCUAUUUGAAAGUCGAUGGCGAUAGUCAUUGUGAAAUUAAGGUUUGUACGCAAAAGAGGUGAGCUGCCCUUUUAGAGACAGAGCAGCUUUCAGAUGAAAAAAAAGUUGAAAUUAGCCGUUUAACUUCUCUAGGCAUGUCUUUGAAGUUACAACAAUACGUGAGUUGUCACUCUUGAGUCUUGUCGGCCAAAUUAUUUGUUCGGAGAGAGUACAGUUUUUCCCCCCCAAUCUUUAAUUUGGCAAAGAAAACAAUUUCAUCGAAGUUCAAUUUUGACUGUGGCAUUUGCCCCCUCAAGAUUCUAACUCUCCACAUGUUGGCGCUAUUUCUUGUAUUUGACACAAGAGAUUUUAUCCGCUGAACGAACAAUGUUAUGUUAUGUUAGUUAGCCAGAAAACCUACUUGAAUAAGGAAAAAAAUCUACUCUCACAAUGCGUAUGAAAAGACUUAAACUCUCAAUCUCAAUAAUGGCACGAAAAUGAAUCUACUAUAGUGGUUUGUCUCAAACAAUUGGGUGACAGCAUUGGCACACUAAUCUAGUCCCUUGGGCAUUGCUCGAAUAUCUAUAAAUGUACUCUAUACCUCUUUUAAGUUUGAGUAAAUAAUAUAAUUAAAAGUUAACCUUCAGUAGAAGGUAUAUACGUCUGAUGUGUCAUAUUACUGUUGCGUAAUUUUUAAAAAGUAAUAUAUGAUGAUAUGUUUGAUGUCCAUAAACAAAUGUAAAACUCUAACAAAAGAAUGGUUUGUGUGUAAUUUUAUUCAUGAAACGUUAUGAGUUUAUUUGUAAAUUAAGUGCAAACCUUAGGAAUACCAUGCUUUAUUUAUUUAUUUUCCCCAUAAUUCAUCUAUCUUAACCGAUUUGAGAGACAAUGAUAUUAAUUGGUACAGUAAGCUAGUUUCCUUGGGAUUUUUUAUGUAAAUUUUGCAUUAAAUAAAAAAAGAAACUGUUCAAACUCUAACUAAAAAUUUUCUGCCUCAUGCACGAGAACAAAAGAUAUCCAUACACAUCCCGCAAGCCUGCAUGGUCAUCCUCUUCUCAUGGUCAAAUCCAACACGUAACAAAAAAUCUUCAACUAAAAAAAACCAAUUAGUCCUAAAAAUAACCCCAAUUCUUCUUAUAUAUAUAUUACCCUCUGCAUCACUCAUCUUAUACAGACCUGCCAAAAGUACCCAAAAAAGUAGAAUAAAAAAGGUAUUCGCUAAUUUAAAAAAAAAAUCCCAGAAAAAUAGAAGGGCUAUUUCUUGAACUCCAAGGCAGGCGUUAGGUUACCAAUCAGAUUAAUCAGCUACAUCCAAUAUGGACGUGAGGAAGAUCUCUUGUGCUGUACUCGUCGCCGUCGCCGCCUGCUUGAGCGUUGCCGUGGCCGCAGACCCAGCCCCGGCACAAGGUCCUGAGGCUGGUGGCCCAGGGCCGAGCAUGGCCCCAUCGGACUCAGCCCUCGGCCCAUCCGCUGAUGGGGCCGCUGAGACAUUGCCCGUUAUGGGUUCUUUGGUUGUGGCAUCCCUUGUGUCAUUUUUGGCCUACUACUGGCAUUAGUCUUGCUGCGAAUUUGAAGACUUAGAUAAUGAAAAAUACGUGUGCUUGAAGCUUCAAAAGAAUGGUCCAUCUUAUAUAUGCGUAUAUAGUCAAUAUGUACACUAAGGAAGGUUUUUAAUUUCUUUCUUGUUCAAUUUCAUUUGCCAUAGUAGGUGGUAUUUCUUUUUUCGAAUUAUUGUAUAAUUAUAAACCAAGCCCCUCAUCCUCGUUCUAGUUGUGAGCGGAAUUUUAACCUAAAUUGUAUUUUGCUUUUGAAAUUUAUGUCGGAAUAAAACACACCUUGAUUUUAUCCUAAUUACCCCAUUAUUUGAUUGCUCUCCUUUUUAAUAAUUCAGUUAAUUUAGUUUAAAAAGUUUUUUUUUUUUUUUUGAAGCAUCAGCAUCUAAUGCAAUGAACACUAUCUGUAGUUACUACGUUAACUGCCAUCCAAAUCCCACAAGAAACUUGUUGACAUAAAUUGCUUUUAAGAUAAAUAAAUAAAUAAAUCAAUCCAGUUUAUUUCCCACGAAAGCCAACUCUGUGUUAAAUCUACAAAUUAUGUUAUUCAAGCUUCUAAUCUUCAAUCAAACACUCCAAGAAAACCAUUUUAUCUCAACAUUCCCAAAAAAAAAAAAAAAAAAAAUUGUAAAAAUUAAUGGCAAUACCUCGAGAUAAUCAAUUUCCCGUUCCCCCAUUAAAUUUCUGUGCAGACACGAGGCUCUUUGUCAACCAGAUAGCUGUUUCUCUAGAUGAGACAGUUUCUUCACCAAAUGGUCUUAACACUCCAGCCAGUUCAUCAAGUUUGUCCUGUUUCAGCAGCCGUGCACAUAACUCAAGAAGAGACUCCAAAGCAUCUGCUCUUUGCUGGGUUGGAUUCUCCCACUCUGCCCUGAUUUCAUCACAACUUAUCCCCGUAACGGUACUUAGUAAUGAGAUGUCGCUUGGUGCCAGAUUAAAUGCCCGAGAAUCAUCUUUCUCUGUUUGCAUGGAGCAACUAGUAUUAUCUGGUUUUGUCUGAGCUUCAUCUUUACAAGGAAGUGCAUCAUUGCUUGCAGAUGACAAGUUGCCCAUGUGAGCUUCCCCAUUCUGUGCAUUGUCGCUAUUUAUCUUUGGCGAACAACUUCCAGGUGCUACUUCGGGUUCAUAUAUAGCUGAUGAUGAACUUUUAUCGUCAGGAGACUCGUUGUUACCGUUGCAGCCUGCACUGGACGGCGUCAUUUUCCCACAGUCCAAGGGAACAGCGCUCUCACCCUCUAUAUCAGCUUCUUCAACAACUCGAUCGCUAAAUGGAUUUUGAUCUUUACUUUUCACAGUCUCGACAUCUAUCUCUUCUGCGGGUUGUACAUGUGCAUCAGCAGGUUCUUGUAUUUCAUUCUGAGAAUUUGCUGUGAUCUCUGAGGUUAAGUCAGAGCCAGUGCUGCCAUUAAAGUGAGCUUGCUUGUCUCUGCUGCAAUCACUUGUCUCAGUUUGAGUGGACCUUUCUUUGGAAUCAUUGAUGGAGCUGGAGACUUCCAUUGUGUAGCUAGUAGGAUCAACUUUCUUGGUCUCAAGGUUGUCUUCUGUACUAGUACUGGAAGUUGGCUUGUCAUCGAGAGGUAGAUUGUUGAGCUGUACAGCAAUAUUUUUCGCUACUGAACGAACAUUUUCCAACUGGUUAUGUGCUGCUGCCUCUCUCUCCCCCUUAUCCUUGCGACUAUUAUGUUUGCUAGAUGGUGAUUUUCUUGUUUUCUCCUUCAUAAUGUUUGUCGGCUUUAUUGGAAGAUAAACAGAAGAUGGGUUUUGGCAUCGAAGGAGAUAUGGCUGUAAAUGCGGAUGCCUCAACAGGUCUGAAGCCUAAAUUUCAAAAAGUGCAGGCACAAGAAUGAAUAAUUGCUUUUAAAUAGACCAGAUAUGAGGUUAGGGUAACUGAAACUCACAGUUGGUCUAUGUUCUGGGUUCUUCCUUAGCAUGCUUUUAAUAAUUUGUUUCCUGUGAUAUUAAAAUGCCAUCUCAGUAAAUACAUAUAUGAUAUUGUAAGAUAAAAUAUGGAAUCAUGGGGAAAAAGGGCAAUUGCAUGUGUGUUAUAUGAACUAGAGUGGUCCUUGAGAAUCAUCGAAUAUCUGUAAUAGGAUUGCGAGAGAUACUUACAUUGUGGAGGAAUACACAAUUGGGAGUGGAGAAAUGGAUGAUCUGUUUAUUUUGUUGAUGAGUCCAGCCAUAUCCUGUUGAGUUCUUAAUAAAUACAUUUAAUUAUGACUUUUUUACAUGAAGUAAAUAUACACAUUUUAUUGCCACUGUACGGUAAUUACAUGUAUCUGAAGCUGAAACUUACAGGAGCUCUAAAUGCUGGUUGAUGGGCAGCAAUUUCAAACAUACAACAACCUGUAACAACACAUGUAUGUUACCGUUAACAAUGAAUCUCGAAAUAAUUUUGGUAAACUGACAACCAAUCUUACUGAAUUUCUUACCGAGCGACCAUAUAUCAGAUUUAUAGCCAUAAGGAAUGUCUGCUAGGAGUUCAGGACACAUGUAGUUGGGAGUGCCAACAACCUAUGAGACAUGAAACAGCACUGACAGUAAACUAUCUGAAUGACUAAAUUGAAUGAAGUGUCUUUAAAAGAAGCUCUUAAGAUAUUGAAACCAUAAAAUUUUGUUAGUAUGUAUACUAAGUAUUCGUAUUCAGUGUAUUUUAUAAGAAAUUUUGAUAUGGUAACUUAAAAGUGCUUGUGGGCAUGAUAGCUUCAUAAAAUAAAGAGUUUUGACAGGGUUUAAAGUUGACAACUUGUUUUAGAUUCAAGUUGAAAACAAAGUGAAAUGCAUUGUAUCAAAAACAAGUACGAGUUCAUACUGAGGAAGCAAGGUCUUCUGUAUUCAGUAGUUUUGCAAGCCCAAAGUCCCCUGUAUAGUUCAUAAAAGACAUACAAUUCUUAGACAUCUUAACUUGUAAGCCAAAGCUGAUGAGAGUGAAAAAUUUUGUUUCCCAACUACAAUUUUCCUUCAUACCUAGACGGAUGUCGUUGUCCUUCGUAAGAAAUAUGUUGGAACACUGUAAUUGAACAAGAUUAAAUCAAAAACAUGUUAUUCAUAAUUUUUUUUAAAAUUUAUAACAUAUAGGUAUACCUUAAGAUCUCUAUGAAGGACACGGUUGGAGUGAAGGUAGUCCACAGCUAGCAACAGCUGGGUCAGCCAUUUGCAGAGUUUCUGAGCAAAGCCAAACAAAAUACAGGAUGGGUGAAUGUUACCUCAGUCAGCAGUGUACGUAUAUAUGCAUGCAUGCAUGCAUGUAUAGGGCAUGAUUUCAUUAACACGAUAAGGAUUACCUCCUCCGGAAAGCAUGCUCCUCUGGCCUUCUUUAUAAUUUCAGCCCUGAGUUAAAAAAGAAAAAAGAAAAAUUAAAAACAGGACAAUUACACAAUGUUUCUGGUUUAGUCCUCUAUGAACAGCAUUUCCAUAUUCUACAUUUUGCAUUUUUGGUUUAGUAAAAUCUCGUCAAAGGUAUCCUCAGUUGACAACUAUAUGCAAAGAGAAAUUUAUAUUUUAGCAUAAUGUUUUCUGAUAUAAGAUGUAAAAUUUUAAAAAAUAUGCAGGUCGAACUUUUAAUUUGCUUCUAGGCUGUACAGGUGAAGAUCACCAGUAGCCUUCAAUUAUCAAUUCUUGAAUUCUCACAAAGAGACAAAAAUGAAUGUAAGUAUGUUCAAUGAUCAAGAAGUGCUACCUGAAACAAAUAUGCAACCUACACCAUAGAAUCAACAAGAAUCUUGACGAUCUGUUCACAUUUCCUGAGAAAGUCGACUAAUACAUUCUUGGCAAUACUUUUCUGUUUCCUAUUAGUAAGAUUUGACCCAAGAAUCUACCCCGACAAUUUCACACAACCUAGUAAGAAAAGAUUAACAUGGUGGUAACUUACAUGUCUCCUCCUUCACAGUAACCAGUUACGAUGCAGACACAGUUUCCCUAUGAAACAUGAAGAGAAACAAGCAUGUUAAUAGAGAGGUAACAUAGUCUCAUAGGAACAAAUUCUACAUAGACCGGAAUAUAAAUGCAUGACAUGCUUACCUUGUCCACCCAAGCAUCUUUGUACUUUACUAUAUAUGGGUUAUUCAAUUUGGAAAUCAAGUCCAUCUGCAAAAGAAAUGGACAUAAAUAGUCUUUUGAGAGAAAAGUUGGUUUGCUUGGAGCAUUGAAGAUUAAAACAAUUUAGGCUUCAAGCCUGGGCCUGAGGCCCUACUGUAAGUAUCUUCCUAGAAGUUGAAGGAAAACUAGAUGGCAAUCUACAAUCUUAAAACCAGACAGCGACAUACAAUCUCAUUAAAAGAUGGCAAGUUUGAAAGUCUUUUUAGAAGUACCAAACUGCAAGUUUCAGGAUGGAAGCUACAACUUCAUUUCACUUUCCAUUGAUUAUCAUGAUUCUGUUAAGUAUUACAGCAGAUCAAUCCAAAAGCGGAAAGCAUAAGUGCAAUUUCAGUAAGAACUUCCCAGAUCAAUUUUGGAUUAUCAAUGUGCAAAAAAUAAUUCAGUAAAACAAAUGAGGAGCCAAUGAACUGAAGAAUCUGCUAACUGUUGGUAAGAUAAAGACGUAUAACCAAAGGUUCUCAGAUGACUAUAUAUGCGUUUGUUGAAUGCUGUGUAGGAUACUGGGUACCCAGGCCUAUAAUUUACAAUCAGGUCAAUAUAAGUUUAGAUAAAAAUUGUCCAAAAUUAAAAUAAAAAAGCCUUUUCCAAAAUGAAAUACGAAACAUUUUUGCUAAAAAUGAGAUUUUUAUCAAGAGUUCUUUAAAAAUGGCUUUGCAAAAUUAAAGUGACGAAUCAAAUUUUACACAUUAAAGAUUCAAAAACAAGUCUAUACAAACGAAAAUAACCAUAUUCUGCAUAUCUAAAGAACUAAUUUCUAAACACAUUAUCAUUAGGAUUGAAAAAAUAUAAAUAGGCAAAGUGCAAUGUCAAAAAAUUGAUGGCUUCUAAAAAACAGAAAUAAUGUUGCAAGAAUCACUAAAUAAAUAAAUGAAACAAAAAAAUUAUGAAGAAAGCAACCUCUUGAAGUGCUGUCCGUUUGAACUUCUCAGUUUGUUUGGCCAAUCGAAUCUUCUUCAACACAUACCUAACGGAAAAAGAAAAUCAACAACCACACACUGUGUAAGCUAAAAGUCAAUCUUCUCCACUAAGAAACAGCAAGUCGUGCCGACGCUAUCUAGAAAGCAAGCUACACUAUCUAAAACGCAAGCUCAAGUCAAGUCGCCAUUUUGAUAAAACAUUGUACCCACUAAUUGAUUUUUCUUGAAAAUAUCAUUUCCCAAUUUUUCUUGAAUUCGCUAAAGAUUAAGACCUUUUUUUUUGGGGGGGGGGGGGGGGGGGGAGAAUGAACAGAAUUUGAUGAAAACUGGCUUACUUCUUUCUUUCAAUUUUAUGCAGAACAAGAAAAGCUGCUCCAAAUGCUCCUCUUCCAAUCUGUUCAAUCACUUCAUAAUCUUCCAGCUUCGACUUCGAAUCGCCAUUUUCAGUCUCCAUUGGUUCCUUCAAAAGCCUAACGACAUUAAAAACACCAAACCCACUUCAGCAACAGAUCAAAUUUGUUAUAUUAGCACAAAUUCAAGCAGGAAAAUGACUAAUUCUGUUUAAAAAAUUUACCAAAUUUCUAUCUCUUCAAGAGGAGUAAUGACUUGAGAUUAUAGAAGUAGCAAAAUACAAUGAUCUGAUAUAUGAAGAGACAUAAAGAUGACUAAAGCUGCACUAAUUAUUAUGUUUUUUACACCACACAAGUUGAGAGAAAGAGAGAGAGAGAGAGAGAGAGAGGGAGGAGCAUAAGCAAAAGCAAUAAUAAUAAGAUAAUUAGAAUUAGGUGACUUACCAAAAUGGAAGGACAACCGAAGUAAAGGAAACAAAGGCUAAUGCAAAUAUUAUAUAUAUUUAUAUAAUAAUACUUAAUCAAUUAAUUGGUAAAUUGAAAGGUUGAAUGAAUAAGAGUGAAACUGUGACAGGUAUUGAAGACCAAAGAGAAAAGGAAAAAGAGAGAGACUAUUGCUUUGCUUUGCUUGCAUUUACAGAUUCAUGAGAGCUAUAUAAUAUAAAUACCACUAAAUUCUAAAGACUGUUUCCCAAUAUGUAGUUGUUGUGAUGUCAGUGUCUUCACGAAAUUAGAUUGGGGAAAAAAAAAAGAAAAAGGGAAAUUCCCCAAUUAGAGUUUUUGUUGAGCUUUGGUCUUAAUAGAUGCAAUCUUCCAAUGGCAUCACACGGUUGUAAGUUCCUUUUUUUUUCCUGCUUUAGUUCUUUUAUUUAUUUAUUUUUGUCUUGUGGUUGGCCAGCAAUUGGUAUAAGAUUAGUUGGUAGGCUUAAGGCUAAUGAUGAUUGAUGGAUGGCUUGAACUUUUAUUUUACUAAAGGCACAAAGAAUUUCAUUAUACAUUCACUUUUGGCUAUAAAAUAUAUAAUCAUCAUGGUUUUGAUAUUAUAAAAUUUGGUGGGUGGGAAUUAUUUAUGUAUUUAUCUUAAAUAUGUUAAGCUAAUGAAGGCCGUAGUAGUAGAGAUAAGCAAAUUGAGUUACUUUUUAAACAUUUGGUAAUUGGUACAAAAUAAAUUCCCAUAUAGGUUUUUACACAAAUCCCUUCUUUGCUUUUGAGUUAAAUAAUUCAUGAGGUAUACUGUCGUUGUAGAAAACGAUGGAUGUCUUUUGAUCUAGAGCAACCUUUCUUUUGGCCUUGUAGAGCGACAACAGAUAGAAAAUUAACAAUAAUAAUCGAUCAAAGAGCUUGGGUGAGAAAAGGAUUUCUCAUUUGCAAUUAACAAUUUAACACAAGAUAAAUGAACAAAAAAAUUGCAUAAUUUGACACCAAUCUUAUGUGCAGCAUAGGGUGCUCUCAAAUGGGAGCUUAAUCCCAGCAUAGAGAUGGAGACAAAUUGGUCCACUUUUGUUUUUCCAAUGUAACGUUUGUCCUUUUUGAGCGAGGCACUUUCCACGGAAGCCUAGCACCAACCAGUGCCAUUGUUUAAGCUUGUCUGUUUAUGAAUCAAUAAUAGGGAAGCUUCCCAAAGCAAAACCAAAACCAUGUGUUCCAGGUUUGACCCUUAUAAUACCACAUUCUUAUCAGAGAUCAUCGUCACAACUCCUUAUCUGUAUUCUGUAUCUUUUGUAAAUGUAAUGCAGAAAUUUUAUCAAUAGGCUGAGAGCAUCCAAGACAUAUCUUCAAGUCCCUGCACUAAUCAAUGUAACCAGACUUGACAUAUGUAAUUUUAAUUUUUUGGGUCUAUAAUUAAGCAUACAUUAAAAGGCUGACAGUUGACAUGAAAUCAAUUAGAACUUUAAACUUGAAUGAUAGAAGAGAUUCGCAGACUAAUAGUAGGAUAAAGAUUUGUACAGUUAAAUCAAAUCCUUGAGCAAAGUUACUUCCUUCUUGAUUUUUUAGAGGCUCUGCGGUUUUCUAUUUUCUUCUGUGCAGCCUCAAAUUCUUCAUCUGUAGGCUCUGAACCUGCAGCAGCACCGCCAUAUUUAGACACUAGUGAUGAGAACAUAGAAUCAAACCGGUCUUUCCUGUCACUUCGGCGUUGAGAUAUAACUGCAUAUAGAUCUGAUUCUGAUUGUUUAUUGGAUCUGUAAAAGAUGAAAACAUGGCCACAAUAUAUUUCAUAUCAUAUGAGUUUGUCAAAAGAGGAUAAUAAAGUAUUAGUAGAAAAGAGACAGGCCAGUAAAAACUCACUUUGCUUUCCUUUUUAAAGGACGGGUAGGUGGUUUUGUUUCGGAUACUUUUUUGGCCCAUUUUUGGUAGGUUUUAGUUGCUUUCAGUUCUCCUAUACAAGUGAGAAAGAGAGAUCAGUAUUGGAGAUCUCACAAGUUUGAGAUAAUCCAGAACAUAAAACAAAUUUGAAUAUUCUUAUUCUAUAAGGUGGCCCUCUAACGUGGAACAAUCAAUUAUCUUUUAAAGUCUUGGUUGUCCACUUAAGUUGCAAUUAACCUAGUUCAGAGGCAGAACUUGAAACUUCUGAGGUCUAGAACACUAAACUUUUUGGGUAUAUAAGCAAAAAGUGAUACGAACAUUUACCUGCAGCAAUUGUCUCGUCAAGAAUAUCCUUGAAACGGUGUGAAUCAAGUUUCUGGUCCGAACAAAGCAUUGAACAGAAAAGCCUGUGGCAGAGAGAAUUUUUAAGCCAUCAAACUUAAAUAGGCAAGUCCAAGGAGGGAAAAGAAACACAUAGCUCUUUAACCUGUUCAUAUUCCCCUUGCACUUCUUAUACAGAUCAAUCAAAUCUUUCUUCUCUGAAUCAGAUCCCCUGUAGUUUGCCUCAAACUCUUCAAUAUCAGCCUCAGUGACCUGCAAUCCGUAUAUCAGCUGUCAAGUAAAUGGAAUGGAAAAGAAGAAUAAUACAAGGCAUUAAUUCAAAAUUUUCAUGAUUAAAGCAUCUAACCUUUUUGUACAUGGCUCCAACAAACUCUUUCAAAUUUUGAACAACAUCCCCAGCCAGGUCCUGACCAGCAAAAAGGAUCAAAAUGAGACACAAAAUGCAGCAACAGUUGAAAAGAUAAAAAAACUGAAAGUGAAUAUUCCAAAUUUUAAGAAAGAAUAUCAUUCAAGCCCAAUCUCUCGCAUAUAGUUAUGAUUGCCAAUUUUUUACCAGGUAUAAGUUGGUCAAUAAAAAGGGAACUGUAAAGGAUGGAUUCCUUAAGACCAUAUAGUGCAAAUGAAAUAUUUUUCAUCACCAUGGAAUUUCUAUUAGCCCUAGACUUUAAUUUAUCUAAAUAAAAUUACUAGAAAACAAAUAGUUCUCUCAACACUCACAGCAUCAUAGACACAACCGGUCUGGUCAUAAAGAGCCCGUUUUUCUUCAUCACCAAGAAUUGAAAUGACCUUUUGUAGUUGUUGAAAUUUCUCCUUCGCCUCCUGUUCAAAGAAGAUAAAAUAGAUCACAACAGAGAAUAAAAAUGACCGGCCAUGCAGGUAACUAAGUUUUCUCCUUACCUCAUCACCAGGAUUUUUAUCUGGAUGGAGUCGUAAGGCCAAUUUAUAGUAUGCUUUCUUUAUUUCCUGUUGAGAUGCUGUCCUUUCAACACCAAGAACCUGCAAGCAGAGCAUCCGUAUUAGAUUUAUCUCGGUUUACUUCAGAAGAGGAUGCAAACCCAACACAACAGGAAAUUGGAAGGAGAUGGGUGGUAAGUGGGGUGCAUAAGUUUACAAUAGCUCGAUGAAAGCAUUCAAAUUCUUGGAAUCAUAAUCACUACAAAGCCAACCAAAUUAAUUAGUUGAGACUAUUAAAGUUUACCGUGCAUGUUACAGAAUACACAUGCUUCUCCAAAGCAAUUUGAUAUUCUACACGAAAGCUUGAAAACUGAAAAUGAGAGUCUAAAGGCAUACAAGCAACACAGUUGAGAGUACAUUUAUAGGGGUAAAUGAUCAUCAAGAACAAACCAAAUGCCAUUGCCUUGUAAAAGACAAAUAUAUUUAUUGAAAAAAAAAAGAAUUCCAGUCAGAAAACAAAUCCUUGCAUUUAAGCCAAUUCACAAAACACAUCAGAACUUGGCUGUGCUAAGUGACGAAGGCAAUGAAUUUUACACUAAUAAUAUGAAAUAAAACCCUAAUUUUUAUUGCAGCAUCACAAGUACAGUACAAUAAACCCUUGAUACUAAAGUACGACUAAUUUAACAAAUUAAACUCCCUAUUAAAAAAUAUUAACAUAAAACGCCCAAAAGAACAAUGAUACCUCAUAAAGGUCCUUAUCAUUUGAAGAAGAUCGAUUCAGAUUCUCCUGAUUUAGUUCUUCUUCUUCAUGCGAAACCCUAGAUUUCUUCUGCUUUCCCAUUUUACCCCUUAUAAAUUUCUUUACUUUGCUUUCCAAAGUGAAAGAAGUAAAGGGUUGGGGUUCUUAUACCAGUGGUAGUAUUGGCGCUGAAUAAAAUUUUCGUCUCCGAUUUAUUCCCGCCAUUUCGGCUCUUUUCCCGCCGGAAUGAUCAGGUGUGUGCUACUGUAUAGUAGCUUUUGAUAAAAAAUUGGAAUAAUCACAUCGUCGACAAGAGAUGGGGCCAGUUAAGUUAGGGCGUACCGUGGGUGUCUACUUGAUGUGUUGAAUGAGAUUGAAACAUAUCAUAGUUCGCGCUGCAUAUGAUAAGAGUGAUGUCCAGAAAAUUUCACACUUACCCCUGAGGUUUGAACAACCCGUAACCGGAUCUGAAGUUUGAGCUUGUCUGGAUAUACACCCUUUGCUUAUUUCGACCUCGCCUGUCACCAACAAUGGGUAGGCAAAAUCGGGUUCGGGUCAACCCGAUCGGGUUUUGGGUUGUUCGGAUUAGAUAAGAAUCAAUCCGACAUAACCGGAAUUAUUGACCCGACCUGAACCGACCUGAACUAUGUUCAGGUCGGUUGAAAUCGGGUUGGGUCAAAUUUGGUUAAUGUAAUUUUGAGCCCUUUUUUUUCCUAUUUUUGUAGUUUUUAUGAUAGUUUUAAGACAUUUUUCUUAAUUGUAGUCAUUUUUACUAAUUUUCAACUGAAAAAAAGAAAAGAAAAUGUUAUUAAAUUAAAUGAAUAAAGUUAAAAUGCUACAAUAUGAUUAUUUGCCUAUUGGCUUGGAGGGUAGGAUUAGGACUAUUAUUUGCUCAACCAACAAAAUCCAAAAUAAAAGUUAAAAUUAAUACAAACUUACAAAGUCCAAAGCACAAUUUCUAAAUAUUAGUCUUUAAAAGUUUGAAACACAAACUCACAAAGUCACAAAAUUAAAUUUUUUAGAAACAUAAAUCACAAAGUUCAAAGUUCAAACAUUAAAACUAAAUAAGCUUUUUUGGUUCCUCCAUCUUGGUUCCUCCAUGGCUCCAUACAAGCACUUUGACAAGUUCUAAAUUCAAAUUUUUGAACUCCAAGUUCAAGUGCCGAUUGCCUAGAGAAAGAUUAAGGAAAUGUACAAUAAAUAUUUUCUUUAAGCCACCUUCCAAAUGAACAAACUCAAUUCAUAUAAAAAAUUGAGCAAAUAAACCAAAUUCAUAAGGUUACACAUCAAACACAAACACAAAUAAAUAAAUCCAAUUCAUAUCUUUAAUUAAACUAAAGGGGUGUUACAAUCUUUCUAAUUUCUAUUAUAUCAUUAUAAAUUUAUAAUUACAAAUAAAUAUAUAUGUUUACCAAAUUUUUCACUACACACACUUGAUUAUAUAUUUCUAUUAUAUCAUGCUUAUUUUAUGGCAUUCAUCACCAAAUCAAGUUAAUAAUAAUACUAGACAAUAAUAACAUUCUAUCAACUUCAACUUGUCUAACUAAAACAAUUACAAAUUAGACUUAAAAUGUAAAACUAUAACAACUAUAAUUAUAGCUUAAAUUACAACCAAAUACUAAUAGUACUAUAAUAUCAAAUUAUGAAUAAUAAUAUAUAUUAAAAGUUACCUUUCAAACAUCCAUAACACCAAUGUCGGCGUUCAUCGCUUCCACUGUCGAAGCUUGCGAUCUUAUAAGCUCUAUAAAAUCUAAAAAAAAAAAAAUUAGUAACUCAAGUGCAUGACUGCAUGUAGAUGUUCUAUAUAAAGUUAUAAUGCAUUUUAAAUAUAUUAUGUAUUUAAUGUAUGAUAAAAAAUUAAAAACAUUACCUUCUUAUAAUUCCAUAUGAAACAUUUGCUCCUUGAUAUCUUCUUAGAGGUUAUAGACGGGAUUGGCAAAAAGUUUAGACUGCAACCAAUUUUCAGUGCAUAUCAAUGCCUCAACCAUAACCGGGGUUAAAGAACUCCUAUACUGAUCAAUAAUACGACGCCCGAUGCUAAAGGUAGACUCAGAUGCCACUGUGGAAAUAGGAACAACAAGGACAUCUCUUGCAAUUUUCUCAAGAAUUGGAUACAUCGAUCCAUUCACCCUCCACCAAAGCAAAACAUUAAGUUUAAGAUUGCUGGAAUCUUCAAUUGGGUCCUUCAAGUAUCUUUGCACCUCAGAUACUACUCUUCUACUCUCAUUCUGAACAGAAACCUUCCUAGCAUAUCCAAGGAAAGGGCGAGCAACUUGAAAAGCGUCAUCACAUUCACCACCAGCAACAUCCACCAAAUUAGCCUCAGUUGUAAAACAUUGAGAAAAAUUUGUACCUCCAUAGCUGCCACUAAGACCACUCUCACCAUACAUCGAUGGUGUGGAAUUAGCGGAGAAUGCACUAUAUGCAUCAUAAAACUCAUUCAACAAGUCCUUUACUGAUUUGGUCAUUUGUUCAACCAUCAAACUAUCAUUGCCAAAAAUGAUCUCAAAAAUAUAUUUAGCAAAAUCCAUUUUCGCUUGUGGAUUAAGAAUAGAGGAAAUAAUCAACAUUUUGUUUAUCUUUCCUGUGAACUCCCAAUACUUAUCAAAAUUUUCCCUCAUACUAUAAGCCAUAGAGGAUACCUAAGGAUCUUUACUUUCUUGCAGUGCAGUCAAUGAACUCUCAAUUAAGCCAAUAGUAUCAUAAUAAAGAUUAGAAGUCACACUCAAAGAGGUAUAAAACAAUAAUGUGGCAUCAUAAAAUACUUCAAAAACUUCACAAUUCGUUCAGCACUCUCCCAGUCCUCCGAUCCAAGUGGGCCCACCCUUCUAACAUUAUUUUCUUUCUCAGCAAAGUAUGCCUCAUAAGGUUUAUCAACUUCUACCAUUCUAUCAAAUGCUGCUUGAAAUUUCAACGCAGUCAUCAACAUCAAAUAAGUGGAAUUCCACCUGGUAAGACAAUCCAAAACAACAAUUCAUUUUGGACAAUUCACCUGCUCAGCACAUUGUUUAAAUGUCCGCAGCCUCAUGCUGGAGGAUCUCACGUACUUCACUGCAUUCCGAAUAACGGUAACACUAGCAUGCAACUCUCUCAAUCCUGAAACAACAAUCAAAUUUAAAAUAUGUGCACAACAACGUACAUGCAUAUAUUGUCCCACCAAUACAAGCGCAUCAUCAUUCCUCUAACUAAGCAACUGCAUAGUGACAUAACCAACAUCAAUAUCAUUUGCAGUGGCAUUAUUAACAGUUAUUGCAAACAACCUCUCUAUCCUCCAAUUUUGUAAGCAAGCCACAAUCUUUUUACCAAUCAACUUCCCUCUAUGAUCUUCGAUUGCGCUAAAACUAAUAAUCCUCAUAUUCAAACACCAAUCACUAUCAAUAAAAUGAGCUGUAAUCACCAUGUAGCUCAUGUUUUGAACAGAAGUCCAUAAAUCAGUUGUAAAAGACACUCGCUACUUGUUGUUGCAAAUCAAACUCUUCAACAUUGCCUUUUUCCUCCAAAAAUAACUCCAUAACAUCUCUACCAAUAGUUCUUCGAGAUGACAUAACGAACUGCGGGAUAGCUACACUGCAGAAAUAUUUAAAUCCUUUGUUGUCUACAAAAUUGAGCGGCAACUCACCCAUAAUAAUAAUUUUAGUUACUGCCCUUCGACACGCGUCUUGACUCCAUCCUUUACCCAAAACCAAAUUACUUGCAUUUUCUUUGCCGCCCUCAGAUGUUAAAUUUUGUUGACUUUCACUUUGUUGUGCCCGAAAUGUCUUGUAUGAUUCACAUGUCUUUAUAUGCCUUGUCAUAUUUGUAAUCCUAUCAAGCCUUAAAUGACAUUGAUAUUGCUUACCACAAUAGUUGCACAUACAUUUGUUUGGAUUAUCUUCGAGUAAAGUGAAAUGAUUCCAUACUGCCAAUCUUUUCUUCAUUGGCGGUCUUUUCCGCUUCGCCUUUUCCUUUCCUCUAUGGGUUCCUUCCAUUUGUACGCUUUGGUCUUCAUCGUCACUCAUCGAAUUCGAUCUUGAGUGUCCAAGCAUCUGAAUAUUCAAAAUAAUAAUUAAUAAUCAUUAAUUCAAAAAUCAAAGCACAGAAAUAUUAUUAACAUAAUCCAUAAACAAAAAUUAGUAAUUUCAAUUCAAGUUGUUCAUGCUCCAUAAAAAAAGUAAGAAAUUCAUGAUUAAUUAAUUAAUUUAUAAUAUCCAAUUACCCAUUCCCCAUAAUAAUAUGAUAUUAUUUGUCUAUUUAUGUCUUAUUUCUUAUUAUAAAUUAAAUCCUUUAAUUUCAAGUCCAAGUUACUUGUACUUAACAACUUAACGGAUGAUUAACAAACAAUAAAAUAUUAAUUGAAUUUAUUAAUUUUUUUAGGGUUGAAAGCUUGAAGCUACUGCACAAGUGCACAUAAUCACAUAACACAUUAUAAUUAUAAAAUAUAUACAACAUAAUACUUAAUUUUAAUAUUUAAUCUACCUAGUGUGCUAAUUUAUUCAUAAAAAAUCAAUUAUUAACAAAUUUCAAUUAAUAUUAUUUCAAUUAUUAUCAAUUAACAAAAUUUUUCUUAUUUGCUAGCUAACACCAUUUUCAUAUGUCCUUUAUGCUUGACUAUUAUGGUCUAUUCGCUAAAGAGAGCAAACGAUAACAAUCAAUGAAAUAAAAACAAAACCCACCAAUCAACAAUUCCUUUUUAUAUGUGAAAAAAAAAAUUCUGAAGAACUCAAUAAUUAACAAAAUUUCCUUGAUUUUAUUACUAAUAUUUAUAAAUACAUAAUUAGUUAAUUACAACAAUUAAAUAAUAACCAAUUACUGAAUUACAUAAUAAAAAAUUAAGCAUAUAUAAUUAAUUAAUUAUAUAGUAUAUAUAUACCAUGAAACGACUUAGGAAACUUGAAAAAAGUUGAAGCUUGAAAGUGGAAACUGGAAAUGGAAAGCUUCAAAAUCGGGUUUGGGUGGGGAGAAAGUCGGGUCGGGUUGUGAGGAUUCGGCCUUCAAGCAACAGAUCAGUUGCCACGGCUCACGAUUGGACGCGAUUUCACUUGGCAGUAGAUCGCGGCUUCACUUGGGAGUUGGCAGCAGCAGAUCGCAGAGAUGCGGAUGGUUCACGGCUCACGGCUGGACGGGUUUGACUUGGUAGCAGCUGGUCGCGACUUUAGUUGGCAGCAACAGAUCGUGGACUGGUGUGUGUGAGUCUUGUGGUGGCUGGUUGCGGACUUGCUGCUGCCUUGUUUGUGUUUGAGCUUGACAGUGAACUUGUGAUUUGUGAAGUUGUGAACUUGUGAUGGUGGUGUGUGGCUGACAGCGUGUGUGUGUUAGGUUUGUGAGUGAAUUUGUGAAUGUGAAUUGUUGAGUGACUGUGUACAGCGUGUGUGUGCAGCGUGUGUGUCAGUGUGUGUGAUGUGCAGCUUGUGUGUGUGCAGUGUAUGUGUGUGUGCUGUGUGCUGUGUGCAGUGUUAGCUUAGGUUUUUUUUUUUUUUUUUGCAACCCGAUCGGGUAUUCGGAUCGGGUCGGGUUUGACCCGAACCGAUCACAACCCGAUCGAGUUUGUAAUUCUUAAUCCGAUCGGGUUUCAAUCCCGACCCGAUCCAACCCGAAUCCGAAAUUUAUCGGGUCGGGUCGGAUCGGGUAAAAUGCCCACCCCUAACCAACAUUAUAACCCCAAAACAUCGCAAUAACAUGAAGGCUCCAAAUUCCAAUGUCGAUGAUAAAUACAGCCCGCCAAACAGUAAUUAUUAAGGUUAUAGGUGCGAAAGAAAAGCUAGGAAUUAAGCAUUACAUUAGUUAGCUAAGUCUACCUCAAGAAAGAGCUUUAAACCUAUUUUUAGAUAACGUUUCAUUUCUAAAAAUAAUAUCAUGAUCAAAUUUUUGUGGCCUGGUUAAAGAGUUUCUUGAAUGGAAUAAGCAUUCAAUCAUUUUCCUAGAUAAAUAAACGUAAAUUAACUAAAAAUAUUUUAUUAAUAUCAAUAAUGAUUUUUAUCAAAUCACAUACGACAACAUCUCACAAUAAUUCGAAAACAACCGUCCAUAUGGUAAACAGUACUAUCGAAUAAUAUAAACUCGUACUAAAAAAAUUUAUUUGUAUUUUGCUUCACUUGCCUAUCUCCUGUCACUUAACAAACUUACUUUCAUAUACACCCCUGAGAUUUAUAUAAAACAAGAACGGAUCCAAAGUUUAUCCAUUUUAAGCAUAUACACCAACUGGUCUGGUCAUACUUGGACAAAUUGGACCUCACAUACCGACAGCAGUGCCACCAGAAACCUACCCAGGCCCAGCCCAGCGCAAGAUGCCCCGCAACAACAGAGCGGGUUAACCAACCCAAGUCAGCCACGAAAUCAAGCGCGAAUGGCAAAGCAGCAAAUAGAAACUGCAUCCAGGGCAUGAGUUAAGCAUCACCGACUCGGUGGAAAGCUCUCGUUGGUGAUGAAAAAGUGGAAGCGUCGUCUUAAAUAGAGCAAAGCCGUAGCGAGAGAGAGAACUUGGAAGAAAAUUUUAAAAAAAAUAAAACGCCCCGUCUCUCUCUCUCUCUCUCUCUGUCUCUUUUCUUUUUUAUUUUUGCUUGGCCUCACUUUUUUUUUUCUUUUUCAAUAUUAUUACCUACGAUUAUCUCUUCGAUUGAAGGCAAGCUUUCACGUCCAUAAAACGACGUCGAUUAGUUUCAGUCUUGUCGGUUGAUCAAAACCUUGAUUUUUGAAACUGAUUUUUGGGGAAUUUUUUUUUACAGAUUAAUUCGGUUCGAUUUUGUAAAUCAAGAUCGGACGAAUAGGUGAGGGUUUUCUUUAUUUAUUUAUUUAUGGGAGUUUGCUUAUUUAUUUAAUUAUUUAGUUGGAAUUAUAGUUUAGUUUACAUAGUAGUUGGUUAAAAAUGAGAUUUUUUUCUCAAUUUUUGUGCUAGGUUUUUGAUGAUUUCUGAUUAUGGCUUCAAAAUAGAAACUUUGAUUGCUUCAAAGUUUUGAAGUGUGAGGCAAAAUGAGAAGUUGGGGUUGUGCUCUGUGAAACCAUCCUGAAUUUUGGGUUAAUUGGUCGAGAUUAUAAUUCCUUUCGUAUGUGUUUACUUGUUUCUUUUUUUUUAAUUGGUUUUUGUAUCUGUUUCAAAUAUUGUGGGUUAGGGGAUUUGUGCAAAGUGAAAACAAUUCAUAUCUGUUUCAGAUUCGUUUGAAAUUUAUAGUGUUAUGUUCACUUGCUAUACCAGUUUCGACCAUGGUAAAUUUAAUUUUUGUGCUGUCACGAGAUUGAUGAUUUGUAGGCGCACAACCUGCAAGCUUACUGAUGGAUAACAGAGUUUUCCCGAGUCCUAGAAAUAUUUUCAUUUAUGAACUCUAAGUCCUUCUGGAUGUGAACAUGAAUACUUGUGUAGGUAUUUUGUAGUUUCUUGGAUAUUAUUGAAACCAGUACCCAAUUGAAUAACGAGUGAAUGCAUUCGAGCCAUCUACCUACUAUUGUUUUAUGAUUUUUUUUUCAUUCCAUUUUGAACUUUUGAGGAUGAAUAUUAUAGAUUAACUGUGUUAUGUAUGAUAUAUGCUUGUAUCCCUUUUAGCAAUUAACUCUAUUAAGCUCUUACGUCCUCUCCUGGCUGAUAGCCGCUGAUUUAGGUUCUGUAAAUGUCACCCUUAAGUCUUAACCUAAGGUAUCCUGGUCAUUUCUUUUUUUUUAAUAUCAUAGAGCACUCUUUUCCUAUGCUUAGUCAAUCAUGAUGCAUUGCAGUGAAUUGACUAGUUAUAGUGAUUAGUGGCAUUGAUUGAAGUUGUUUUGUGCAGAUUAAGUUCUUUCCUUUUUCUUUGUCCAUAUUUUGUAUUUGUUUUGUUAGUUUUCUUGAAUGCAUCAUGGUCUGUGAGUUUGUUCAAUUUUUGUAUGGGAUUAUAUUGAUUGAUAUUGAGCUGGUGGCUGAAUCAUUUGUAUGGUUUAGUAGUUGUAUGUAGUAAUAUAGAUGAUAAGAUGAUUUCCUGGCAGGAGGUAGAAAAGAUGGAAUCACAUGAUGAAACUGGAUGCCAAGCUCCAGAAGGCCCCAUUCUUUGCGUCAACAAUUGUGGCUUCUUCGGAAGUGCUGCUACCAUGAAUAUGUGUUCCAAGUGCCACAAGGCCAUGAUCCUUAAUCAGGAACAGGCCCAACUAGCAGCUUCAUCUAUUGGGAGCAUUGUGCAUGGCAGCUCCGGUGGGACUGGCAAGGAGCCCAUCAUUGCUGGCAGCGUGGAUCUACAAGUGGGACCAGUUGAGAUAAAGAAAUUCUCCAUGGAACCAUCUAGUGGUUCUUCCUUUGGCUUCGCAGGAGUGAAAGCAAAGGAAGGCCCUAAAAGGUGUACAACUUGCAAUAAACGUGUCGGUUUGACAGGGUUCAAUUGCAGAUGUGGGAACCUCUUCUGUGCAGUUCACCGAUACUCUGACAAGCAUGGCUGUCCGUUUGAUUAUAGGACUGCUGCUCGGGAAGCAAUUGCUAAAGCCAACCCUGUCGUGAAGGCGGAGAAACUUGACAAAAUCUAGAAGUGAUGAACUGAAGGUUUAUGCAAAGAAUAUGAUGCUUUUCUUUUUAGGCACGCAUGAUAUAAGUUGGUUUCUUGUCUGGUUAGAUGUCCUUUAUUGGUAUAAAUGGUUUCAGGUCAUGAUUUUCAGGACAUCAUUGCAGUUAUAUUCCUUGCUGAUUGGCAAGGAUUCCCUUGUUGGCUCCAGUGUGUAAGUCUCUAUUUGUGCCUGGUUUUGAUGGACAACUUUGUGGUUAAUUUGUAAUAUUGCUUCUGGUUGGUAUGCAUUUCUUUGUAGUAGUAAAUGAGGGAAAAAAAAAUCGGUAUUUGCAGUGCAUCGAAACAUCUAUCAACUAUUCUCCUGCCAUUUCUUGUAUUACUACUUUUAUCCUUCUGCUGUCUAUGUUCUCACCUUAUCCUCCUUAAGUAUGAGCUUUGCACUGAUUGCGACUGAUGUUUUCUUCUCACUACUUUCAGUUAGAUUCAGUUAUCUCUCGCUGUUGUUGUAUCCAUAUCUGAAUGCUUUUUGUUAUUGCUCUAUGGUUGAUGUGCAUUUUUCUGUUUCAUAAACAGAUAUUUAUUUGCGGCACUAGGUGCAUCUUUGAAGCUAAUCUACUGCCAUCUGGUUCAGUACUUAUUAUCUUCUUCUAGCAGUUUGGUGAUAUUGUCUUCUCCUCCUAAAAUAUCACGCAUUGCAUGAAUAGUUGCUUUCUACUGAGAAUCAUUGUUCUGACUCUAUGACUCCUUGCUGAUUUACAUAUAUUUAUGGUUAUAAUACCAUAUUAACAUCAAUAUCAUGAAUGUUCUUGACCUCGUUAGUAAUGCCAUUACCUUGUUUCCGAGGACUCUUCCAGCUUUUCACUAUUUUUGAUGAACAGGAAAUGUGUUGAAUUGUAUGCGGUGUUCACCUUGCCUAUAAAGAAUUUGUUGAGAUAUAACAUUAAAUUUAAUUAGUUCUGAGGAGGACAGGCUAAAUCCCUCGUGCCUCUCUUGCUAUGAACCGGAGCCAUUAAAGCUGUUAUUCAUUGUGUGUUGUGAGAUUGUUACCACUUACCAGAUAAUUUUUGUGUCUUUGGAUACGCUGUGUACAAUACAAAGGAGCUGAGAGAGAGGUUAGAGGUUCAGGUGUCAACGUUAGUCUCUCUCGAUGGAUGUUGUUUAUUUAUGUUUCUAUGUUUACCACGUGUAUUUCUGAGCUACAACUUGGAAAAUUAAAUAAAAAAUUUGUGGAUUAUAAGUGAAAAUAAACGCAAUUUGAGAACAUAUUAGAUUUAUGGGCCUUUUGGCAAUCUCAGACGCACUUCAAGGAUUUAUUUGUUGAAUAUCUAAAGUUUUAUUAAUUUUAGAUAUUUUUGUAAAUCUAUUUGUUUGUCUCUUUUAUUUACUUAUGUUUGAUUUUUUUUAUAUUUAAAUUUAAUAAAAAGGUGAAUUUUUUUAUUUUAAUUAAAUGAGAAGUAAAUAUUAUAUGUUUAAAAAAUAUAUUAAAUAUAUUUAUUUCUUAAAUUAUAAAAUUUAAUUCUUCUUUUUUCUUAUAAAACAUAAAUAUCAAAUAAUUAUGUUUAAAAUGUUCUUUAUUUAUAAAAAUAAAUAAGUUAUUAUUUAUAUUUAGAGUAAUAAGAUUUAUAAGUAUAUCAUUUAGACAUUUGCAUAUGGAUAUUUUUAGAUUUUACAUCUAUUCAAAUUUCGGGGGGAAAACUUGUUGGCUAAGUGACUUUCAUAUCCUAAAAUAUGUUUUGUUUUAAUUAUUUAAAGUCAUAUCAUUAUGGUUCAUCACUAUUAAUAAAUAGUUACUAUUAAUAAAUAUUAACUAUUUAUUUUUUUUAAGUUCAGAGUUGGGCCGGUGGAGUUGGAGUAUGUAGGGUCUGAAUCUUGACUUGAAUUUAACUGGGCUUUAAUAUAUAUGCUUGAGUCUGAUUCUUGACUUUUAAAUUUGGUUCAAAGCCCGAAAAUUAUGAGUCGGGUCAAUUGGAUUAAAAAUCAGGUCUGACUUUUUUGUCAUCUUAGUAGAAAUUUUAAAUGCAUUUGAAGAUUUUUUUUGCUAAAUAUUUAAAGUCGAUAAGUUCUAUUAAUUUUAGAUACUUUUAUAAAUUAGUUUGUCUUUUUGUUUACUUAUGUUUGAAUUUCAGAUAUUUACAUUUAAAUAGAAAAAAGUGAAUUUUUGUGAUUUUUAUUUGAAUGAGAAAUAAAUAUUAUAUUUAAAAAUAUUUCUAUUAAAUAUAUUUAUUUCGUAAAUUAUAAAAUUUAAUUAUUUUUUUACUUAUAAAGAUGUAAAUGUCAAAUAUUAUGUUUAAGAAUUUUUUUAUUUAUAAAAAAAGACCAUUUACAUUUUAGAUAUUAGAAAAAUAAUAACAAAUAUAUCAUUUGGACAUUUGUAUUUUGAUUCUUAAAUCUAUUCAAAUUUCGAACAAAAAAAUAAAGCCAUGUCAUGACCCAGUCCAAACUUCCCAAAAUUUUUAGGGUGUACGAGCAUUCCAUAAAUAAAACUGUGCGGGUCUUGUUAAGGCCCAAAGUGGAUAAUAUCUUGGCAAGUUUGGGUUUGGUCAUGACAGAUGGUAUCAACGCAGCUCCGUGUGUCCUCUUGAACAAUGGUGGGAAAAACCUCAACGAGGAUGCUAAGUCCCUAAGGGGGUGUAUGUAACACCCUAAGUGAAUCCCACAUCGACAAACACACAUGCUGGGUUUAUAAAGGGUGAUCCACACCUUAAUUGACAAGAUGUAUUUUGGGGUAUAUAGGCGCUCCAGGAACAAAAUCGUGCGGAUUUUAUUAAGUCCAAAGCAGAUAAUAUCUUAUCAGGUCUGUGUUGGGUUAUGACAAGCUAAGUGACUUUAUUCAUAACGUAAGAUUAACGUGCAUUGUUGAGCAAUAAGAUUUUUGUAUUUCUUUUUUUAAACUCAUAUAUUGCAUUUGUGGAAAUCAAGGGUUAAAAUUAACGGUGAAAGGACAAUAAUAAAAGCCAAAGGAUGAUAUAAUGAAGAAAGCGAGCCAGCAACUAGCAAGGAAGAUUUGUUGAGGAAGGUGGCCGGCUGUUCUCCCCCACACAGCGCACCGUCUGCAGAAAGCAAUGUAAUCCUCAAAAGUAAAUAAUGUGUAUCAUUGUAGUUAUUAUUAUUAUUGUUCUUUAUGUAUAUAGCUUUCUUCAUUGCAAUUAAGUGAAAAUUUUGAUAAUGCCAAUUGGGGCAUUGCCGGCCAACUUUCACUCACUCACUCACCACCACCACCACCCACCAAAUCAUGAAUCAUGAUCAUCAAAAUUGAAGACAAAAAGGGCUGCCUCAAAAUUUUUGUUGGGACUUGAGGGCUUCUUUAUCUAGGGAAUAUUGCAGCACAAACAACUAGCGCGCAUACACCAAAACAUAAAACAAUUCAUUAUUGACUUUAAAAUAUAUAUUAUCAUAUGCACUUUGGACCCAAAGGCAAAACACACAGAAACAACGCCCUUGGAUGCUUCAAAUUCAGUCCCCUUUUUCUCAUUUGAUAUUAAAAGUUGACUCGUGAAUACGAGUAGAAAAUUUUUAGAAAGCAACAAAUUGAAUUGCAUCAACUAACCUUAUCUUGUGUUAUUAUUGUAUAUGACAAUAAUCAUUCUGGCCUCAUAUUGUUUGUAUAAAUUUUAGUAAAAUAGUGAUUAUUGAUUAAACGAUAAAGUAUUGAAGUGUGGAUGCUUUCGAGGUUUGGACACCUUUUUUUUUUUUUUCUAUAUGGUUGACAUAUUAAACUUUAGUCCCAUCAAUUUCUAGCUAGUAUCAUUUUUUGGUCGUAAAUUUUAAGUAGGCAAAGUUAAUUUGCUGCUGUUCACGGUAAACAAACUGUUCAAUUUCUGCAUGGUAAUAAUAAGGAACUUAUGGGCUACCAUGUUAUUUUUGACUUUGUGAGUGUGUAUGAUAGUUUCUUUGACAUUACCCACAAUUGGUGUUCAUAUCAUAGAUGGAAUACUUUUGUGCAAAAUAAUAAUUUCGUCCUUUCAAAAUAAUAAUAAUAAUUUCAUUACUCAGCCAACAAUAUAACAGCACAGAACACCUAGGAAAUUCAUCAGCACAAGGAGUAGUUCACUCACUCACUGGUAAGGUGUACAGGAAGAAAUUAUUCUUUUUCAGUGGGCUCUAACUACUCUUCUAACUUUGCAUAAUGAUGGGGUUAUUCUAAGUCUAGUAAUUUUUUAGAUCUGCAUCUAGAAAAUAAUUUCCAACACAAAUAAAAUAUCAAAACUACCAUAGACUUGAGGAAGAAGAACCACCACAACCUCGAAUCUAAGAGGAAACUUACUUAGGGAUGGUAGAAAAAUUCAGCCUGAGCUCGAGUAUCAUGGGUCAGGUCGGUUUUUUAGGUGAAGCUCGAGCUCAAAAAAUACUUUAAAAAAUUUUAGAAAAUAAAUAUUAUUUUAUUUAAAAUAUAAUAUUUAACAUAUAUUUAGUCCACCCCACCCAUAAUAUAUAUUUAAAAUUUUAAAUCAUUUAAUCAUAACUUUUAAAGUCCAAUUUAACCACAAAUAAAAUAAUAAUAAAAAACGGACCUAAACUUUACUAAACCCGACGUGAGCCCGAAAUUUUGUCAUCCCUAAACCUGCUCUCACAACAAAUCACAUUUUAGAAACAUGAUAAGCUAUUCUUGGUCUUGGAUGGUUCUUUUCACAUGAAACUUUUUAUUGAAAAGCAUAUGUAAAGUGUACCCAUUUUAAAGUCCAAUAACCAUGCCUGAAAUUUGUCAUUGGAAGUUAAAAAAAAAUAAAAGCAGGCUGUGUGAAGUGUAAAGAAGAUUCUUAGGAUACCUUUCUUUCUUUCUUUCUUUCUUGCCUUCUUUCUUUGAUUGUUUUUUAUUUAUGGCUGACAUGAGGCCAAAAUUUUGUAUAGAUUUUUUGACAGGAGGCUGCAAUAAUGGCUGUCCUUCAUUUUCCACUUAUACAGUAAAAGUCAAAAAUUUAAAUUUCUUGGUUGUCUGAAAAGUCAACUAGCAUUCUUGCCAAAAAGCAUUAAAUUUGACAUUUUUUGUUUUCCCCACCAACUACGCUUUGUUUUUUUUUUUUUUGUACGGACUCAGUAACUACGCCCCCCCCCCCAAAAUCAAUUUUUGCCCUUUACAAAACACAAUCAAUUUUGGGCAAUAGGGCAUGCCUUGAUUCAUUUAAAAGUAAUUAAGAAAAUGUUAAUUGGUUUUUCAAAUUAAAUUACUUGUGAUUAUGAACUACAAUUUGAUACACCCCCCCUCGGCCUAUAAUGAUUAUGAGAAGAUUUGAAUAAAAGGGAGUAUGGUAAAAGUUUAUAUAAGAUGAGCAAAAAAUUGAAUCCAAUAAUGUAUUUAGCACGAGGGAAAGUAACUACUUUAUUUUCACAAAUCUCAUAGUAAUUUUUCUUUGACUGGGCAUGCUUGUAUAAUUAUUACACUCAAUAGAAUUUUACUCUUCUUUCACACGCUUUUACGAGAAGACCGUCCAAUAGUUUGAUGAUAAAUUUUUAGAUCAUUCCAAACAAAUCUAAAGUUAUUACAAUGGAUCUGAUUUACUUAACUGUUUUUUUUUUUAUCUUUGAAGAAAUAUUUAGACUAUCUUUAUAGUAAUGUUAUGAUUACGACACUCAAAGAGUAUUGUUCCUCACAAUUUGGGCACCGUUAAAUAAUAAGAAUUUGUUGAUUAUUGUUGACUUUUUUUUUUAUUAUCAUCUAAUGGUGUCUAAAUUGUGAAAGUACAGUAACCAUAGGUUAUAAGGCACCAUCAUCAAUUCAUCAUAUUCAUAUACUAUAUUGGGUUAUUGUUUUUAAAAUUGUGAUAAAAUAUACCAACUACAUCAUGAUCCUGUUGAUUGAAGAUUUCCAAUUAAAUUUCCAAGUUGUUUCUUUUAAGAAAAAAGAAAAAUGCACCCUUAUAAUUGGAGUGAAUUAUGAAUUGCGUAUGGUGUGGUCCAACGUAGGCUAUAUAUUUAUAGCCUUUUGAUUUGUUUGGAAUGAUCACGACAUCGUUAUAAAUUUCUCAGUUAACUCCUUGGUGGCCCCCCACCAAGUUUGAUUAGAUCUUCACCGUUGGAAUCAAGAAAAUGUGGCAACCACUGAUCUCAUCCCUCCCUGGAACCUCCCGGCGCCGAAGCCGGGUGGUCAUUCACUUUCAUCAUAUCCAAUCAGCCUCUUGAUCAGACGGCGACCGCAUCUUUCUCUAAAUCUCUCCGCAUUCUAUAAUUAUCAAUCUAUAUAUAUAGAUAUUAAAUUACAAAAAAUAAUCGUAUUCUCUCGUGAUGUGGACACGUGCCAAGGGAAGUCUUGUCUGGUCUCUUCAGAAUCUUUUUGUCGUCACUAUCACUAGCUCACGAGAACUUUUCGAGUUUUGCAUUUUGUCUAUUUUUGUUAUAAUUAUUAUUAUUAUUUUUUUCUUUCGAAGUCUUGACUUUCAGACUUUUACCACUUUCUUAAUAAUAUCAUAAAAAUUGAUUCUCAUUUUUGUUUAUUACCAUAAGGCUGCACAAACAGGUCAACACACACAUAAUAGAAUUAAAAAAAAAAAAACCCUUAACUGAAAAAAAAAAUUAAAUGAACACAAAUAAAGGAACUCGAUCAAAUUUAUAAUGUUUUUGUCAAAAUCUUUUCAUCUGAACAUAUUAGUACUAUGAAAUAAAGUAAAAAUAAGUAAAACCUAUUGAAUUUUAAAUAGCCAAAAAAAAAAGACUUGUCUAUGGUUGUUGGGAGGUCAAAUCGUAUUAUCUUUUUGUAUUUCACGGAAAAAGUAAAAAAGUUUAACGUUGAGCCCACAAGCAAGGAAAGUCAUAAAGAGGUUAAAUUCUCAGCUUUCUUUUCAAAAUUACAGUACUAUUAUAAUUAUUAUUAUUAUUAUUGAGAAUCAAAAUUACAGUAGUAAUUCUUCAGAAACAUGCUGUGUUGAUCAUGUAGUAUAAGGUCCAAAAAACAUUGCCCAUAUCAAUGCCUGUACCUUUUGAACCCAUUAAUUGACCAUAUGCAUUGUCCAUUUUCAAGCUUAUAAUGUGACAAAAAUAGGACAUUAAUUUAUUAUUUUUUUAAUAAUCUUGUGACAAUGGUGUCUACAUAUAAUAUUUACGUGCUUUAGUUUAUUUUCAGCUGAUUUCCUGUAACUUUGCUGUAAUAUUUUUCUUUUCUCUAUGAAAUCUUCAUCAACAAAAGUCAUUAUGACUGUUUUGUAGCUCUGUGUAGAUGCUCUGCGUUACAGUCGAUCUCUCAUAAAGUCUCACUUUGAUCUACUGAUAUAUUAAAAAGAUUGAAAACAAAUCAACACAAAGCACUCUCUCAGUCUCCUUCAGUGACAAUGGCUACGGCCUCCUCCCCACUUUCAUUUCUUUGCCUCCACCUUCUUGUAUGCUUAACAUUCUUCGCUUUCACUUCUGCUUCAACUGAAAAAGAUACCCUUCUUUCCUUCAAGGCCUCCAUUGAUGACUCCAAGAACUCUCUUUCAACCUGGUCUAAUACUUCGAACAUUCACUACUGUAACUGGACUGGGGUCACUUGUGUUACUACUGCCACAGCUUCGCUUACUGUUGCUUCCAUCAAUCUUCAAAGUCUGAAUCUUUCUGGUGAAAUCUCAUCUUCAGUAUGUGAGCUUUCUAGACUCAGUAACUUGAACCUUGCUGACAAUCUCUUUAACCAGCCUAUACCUUUACAUCUUUCUCAGUGUAGCUCUUUGGAGACUUUGAAUCUUAGUAAUAAUCUCAUUUGGGGUACUAUCCCAGAUCAGAUUUCUCAGUUUGGUUCUUUGAAAGUUCUUGAUUUGAGCAGAAACCAUAUUGAAGGAAAGAUCCCAGAGAGCAUCGGCUCAUUGGUGAAUCUUCAGGUUCUCAACUUGGGAAGCAACUUGCUUUCGGGUAGUGUGCCUUUUGUUUUUGGGAAUUUUAGUGAGCUUGUUGUUCUUGAUUUGUCACAAAAUGCAUAUUUGAUGAGUGAAAUUCCUAGUGAUAUUGGCAAGCUUGAGAAGCUUGAGCAGCUGUUUCUGCAAAGUUCUGGUUUUCAUGGGGUGAUUCCUGAUUCUUUUGUGGGGUUGCAAAGUUUGUCCAUUUUGGACCUUUCACAGAAUAAUCUGACCGGUGAGGUUCCUCAAUCCCUUGGCUCUUCUCUGUUGAAAUUAGUGUCUUUUGAUGUUUCUCAGAACAAGCUUUCAGGUUCAUUCCCAAAUGGUAUUUGCACAGCAAAUGGCCUUGUAAACCUUAGUCUCCAUAAAAAUUUUUUCAAUGGUUCAAUCCCCGGUUCCAUUAAUGAAUGCUUGAAUCUCGAGAGGUUCCAGGUUCAAGACAAUGGUUUUUCUGGUGAUUUCCCUGAUAAAUUAUGGUCACUACCUAGGAUUAAGCUCAUCAGAGCUGAAAGCAAUAGAUUUUCCGGAGCAAUACCAGAUUCAAUAUCUAUGGCUGCUCAACUGGAGCAAGUUCAAAUUGAUAACAAUAGAUUCACUAGUAGCAUCCCUCAGGGUCUUGGGUCAGUUAAGAGCUUAUACAGAUUCUCUGCCUCUCAGAAUAGUUUCUAUGGUUCACUUCCUCCAAACUUUUGUGAUUCCCCUGUCAUGAGUAUCAUUAAUCUCUCCCAAAAUUCAAUUUCGGGUCAAAUUCCAGAGCUGAAAAAGUGUAGGAAACUAGUCUCAUUGUCAUUAGCAGACAAUAGUCUUACCGGAGAAAUCCCCCCAUCCCUAGCUGAAUUGCCUGUGCUAACCUACCUUGAUCUGUCGGAUAACAAUCUGACAGGUCCAAUCCCGCAGGGGCUUCAGAACUUGAAGCUUGCCCUGUUUAAUGUAUCCUUCAACAAACUAUCUGGUAGAGUCCCCUACUCCUUGAUCUCAGGUCUCCCAGCAUCGUACUUGCAAGGGAAUCCUGGACUUUGUGGCCCUGGGUUGUCAAAUUCUUGCGACGAAAAUCAGCCAAAACAUCGUACUUCUGGCCUCACAGCAUUGGCAUGUGUGAUGAUUUCUCUAGCACUUGCUGUUGGAAUUAUGAUGGUUGCUGCUGGGUUUUUUGUGUUUCAUCGAUAUUCCAAGAAGAAAUCUCAAGCAGGUGUUUGGCGCUCACUGUUCUUUUAUCCACUCAGAGUCACUGAACAUGAUUUGGUGAUUGGGAUGGACGAGAAAAGUGCUGCGGGAAAUGCUGGACCUUUUGGUAGAGUUUACAUUUUAAGCCUACCAAGUGGCGAGCUAAUUGCUGUUAAGAAGCUGGUCAAUUUUGGAUGCCAAUCUUCGAAAACUUUGAAGACUGAGGUGAAGACGUUAGCCAAGAUCAGGCAUAAGAACAUUGUUAAAGUUCUGGGGUUUUUUCAUUCGGAUGAAUCAAUCUUUCUGAUAUACGAAUUUCUACAAAUGGGGAGCUUAGGCGAUUUGAUUUGCAGGCAGGAUUUUCAGUUGCAGUGGAGUAUUAGAUUGAAAAUUGCCAUUGGGGUUGCUCAGGGAUUGGCAUACCUUCACAAGGAUUAUGUUCCACAUUUACUUCAUAGAAACGUAAAGUCCAAAAAUAUUCUCCUGGAUGCUGAUUUUGAACCAAAGCUCACAGAUUUUGCUCUUGACCGAAUUGUGGGAGAAGCUGCAUUUCAAUCAACCAUGUCUUCAGAAUAUGCACUCUCCUGUUACAAUGCACCAGGUAUAAUUAAGAUCUCAUACAUAUUCUUUUUCAACUCGUUAUGCAUCAUUUCUUCCAACAUUGUUGUAUCAAUUGCUGUAUUUUUAAUGUGAAUGUAUGUAACAGACGAAUUUGAAGGCUUAUAGGAAAACUUAGGUUGCUAUUAAAUAUAUUAGAUAACUCACUGUUACUUCUAAACUAGCCAUUCCUAAAUAGGCAGGGGACUAAACUGAAAUGGCAACAUUACUAAAUUUUCUUUUUGCUUGCAGAAUAUGGAUACAGUAAGAAAGCAACUGAACAGAUGGAUGCAUACAGCUUCGGUGUUGUGUUAUUAGAGCUCAUAACUGGCCGACAAGCUGAGCAAGCUGAGCCAGCAGAGUCUCUUGACGUUGUGAAGUGGGUUCGUAGAAAAAUCAACAUAACCAAUGGGGCAAUCCAAGUUCUAGACCCCAAGAUAGCGAACUGUUAUCAGCAACAGAUGCUUGGAGCACUGGAAAUCGCUCUGCGCUGCACUUCUGUGAUGCCUGAAAAACGACCAUCAAUGUUUGAAGUAGUGAAAGCACUUCAUUCCCUCAGCACAAGGACUAGUCUUCUGAGUAUCGAGCUCUCUAGUUCGCAGGAGCACUCAAUUCCUCUGUGAACAAUGCACUAAAAUACUGCCUCAUUUUUAUUUUUUUUUGGUUUGCCUUGUAUGUAAAUCCAACUUGAUUUUACAUUAUUUGAAUGUUCUUGGGCAUGGCUUUCUCUGUCCUUCACGAAAAUUGUUUUGGAAUUUUGAUCAAUAGCAAUGCAAGAAUGUUACAGUGUAUUUUAUUAUUGCCGCUUGUUCAUGUCAUCUAGAUAUUGCCCAUGACAUUGUCCCUGUUAAGAGUUCGAGAUGCAUCAGUAAUCACAUAGGUCUUCUACGCCCGGUGGCCACUCGAUUUUUAGUAGCACAACCGGUUUAGAGUUGUGAUACACUUACAAAAUUAAGACAUUAAUCUCCAUGUUUCAAAACGAUGGUGUGGGCAAAUGUUAAGUAGCUCUUUAUACCUAUCCCAAUAUUGGUAAAAAGUUUCUCCUAAAUUUUUAGUAAAAGUGGUGAUUUGUCUUUUGAAAGAAUUUAUUUUGUGGGGUGGAAACAAUUUUUUCAAAAAUUGUGCUUGCAUUUCAUUCCAAGUUCUGAUAGAUCAUGAUAUAAGAUUUUGUAGCCAAGUUUUAGCUUUAUCUUUUAGUGAGAAAGAGAAAACUUAAGCUUGAUUAUGUUCAUGCUACAAUUUUAAUCAGUAGAGGUGUUACAAACUUUCUCAAAUUCUCUCAAAUGCAUACAUAGAUUUUCAAACUCAAAAUCAUGAAAAGUAGUUAGAAGUUGGAUGAUACUAUGUUUGAAAUUAAAACGUGAUGCAUUAGGAGGAAAAAUUAUGCAUGACGGUGACCCUAAUCUAGUAGAAUGUGUGAAGUCUCUAAGGGUUUUGGGCUGUUCAUGAAGAUUGUGCAAGGUUUGAUUAUCUUCGUGCUCUGAAGAAUAAUCAACUCCAAUGUCAGUCAUAUCUAAGGUAGUGUUUAUUUUUUGGAUUGUAGUGGGAAUCCUUAAGAGUGGGAAUUUUAGGAUUUGGAGUGUGGAGUGGGAGUAGGAGUAUGUUGUUUACUUAUACUAAAAUAGAAGCAUGAAAUGGAAAUCAGAAUUCAAUUUAUGUGUUUACUUUGUCUUGGAUUGGGAGUAAAUAGUUUCAAAUUAUAAUUUUAUGCUUAUUUAAAGAAUUAUAGUUUUUUAAUUACAAAGUUAAUAAAAAAUAUAUUUAAUGAAUAAACAUUUAUUUUAUUAUAUUUGUAAAUUUAUAAUAAUGAUUAAUAUUCUUAAUUAUGAACAUCAAAUUUUUUUAUUAAUUUUAAUUUUAAUUAUAUAAAUUAAAAAUUAUUGAUAAGGGCAAUAUAAAUGAAAUAUUUUUACUAUUAACAUAGUAUGAAAUUAAUAUUUUCUUAGAAUAAACUAUUUAUUAGUAUUAAUUAUUAAUAUUAAAUAAAUAUAAUACUAAUAUUUUUAAAUAAAUAUAAUACUAUUAUUUUUAAAUAAAUAUAAUACUAUUAUAUUUUCAAAUAAAGAUGGUUUAUAGUAAUAUUAUUAAUUCUCUAUUAAUAUAAUAAUAUUAUUUUUAAGUAAUUUAGACUUAGAAUCAAACCAAAUGAUUAUUUAGUUAUAUAUAAUAAUAUUAUUUAAAUAAAUAUAAUAUUAUUUAAAUAUUUAUUAAAUUUAUAGUAAAUUUAAUAAAAAGAGGGUAAAUAUAAAAUGAAACAUUAUUUUAUUUUAUUUAAUAUAAUUAUAUUAAAUUUAUUAUUAUAUAAAAUAAUAAUAUAAUAUUAUUUAGUACAAAAUUAAUAUUUUCUUAGAAUAAACUAUUUAUUAUUAUUAAUUAUUAAUAUUAAAUAAAUAUAGUACUAUUAUUUUUAAAAUAAAUAUAAUAAUAUUAUUCAAAUAAAUAUAAUAUUAUUUAUUUUAUUUUAUUAAAUAUAAAAUAUUAAAUUAAGUUAAAUUAAAUUAAAUUAAAAAGGGUAGAAAAGUGAAUUUCAUAAAUUUAAAGAAAGAAAAAAAUGUGUUUUUUUUUUAAUUUUUAAAAUUUACUAGCCAAUUAAAUUUCAAUUAUUGCAUCUUAAUUGCUAUUUUAAAUGUCUAAGUCCAUGUCCGUUAUGUCCACAAAGUCCAAAAGUCCAACAAAUAAGGCAAAGUCCAAAGAUCCAAGUUCCAAUUCAGUUUUAGGGACUGAUUAGCAAACAUUUGUGGGCUAAAAUGAAGUUUUUAACAAAUUUUAUGGAUAAUGUUAAAAUUUUAAGAAAAGAGGGGCGCUAACUGAAGUUUCAUAAAUAGAGAAUGAAAUAAAAUGACGAAGAAAGAAACUAACAAAAUAAUAAUAAUAAUAAUAAUAAUAAUUAAUAAAUAAAUAAAGACAAAUGGACACAAAAUUUAGAAAAUCUCCAGCAACGGCGCCAAAAAUUUAACACGACUUAAAAGUAUUAUUACUCCCAAAUAUAAAAAUGUCUAGUUAUAAUAUAACUCGGUGAGUCCAGGAUCGAACUACAGGAAAUUUAAAAUCUAGUAGUCGAUAUGUAUAUAUAUAUAUAUAUAUAUAUAUAUAUAUAUAUAUAUAUAUAUAUAUAUAUGUAUGUAUGUAUGUAUGUAUGUAUGUAUGUAUGUAUGUAUGUAUGUAUGUAUGUAUGUAUGUAUGUAUGUAUGUAUGUAUGUAUGUAUGUAUGUAUGUAUGUAUGUAUCUUUGUUUGUAUAUAUAUAUGUAUAUUUCCACACACUUUCUCUCCCUCCCUUCCUCUCUCUCUCUCUCUAUCUCUACACACACACACAUACUUAAUUUGCUAUAAUUCUAACUUAAUUGUUUUAUUCAGUAAACGUGUUAGUGCUCGUUAAGUAGUAUACGUGUCAGUGCUCGUUCAAUAUAUAUAAAUGUUAAUGAUAGGAUUUUUGGAGCCUUCUAUAAAUAAAAUCUUUAAAGUUUUAUAUUAUUUGUUUACACACACAAACAUUGAUAAUAAUUGUAUCACCCAGAGCUGCGGAAAGUACAGGCCCUGGAGUUUGUCCACUAAUGGCAAUAGCAAAUUUCUUAUAGUAGUCAAUAUAUUUGUAACUGUAUGAAAUUGCACAUGUUAAGUUGUGAUAGGGAUGGCAAAAUCCUCCACGGGUUUGGGGCUUCAUAGAACCCCACCUCAAAUGGGGAAAAUUUUAAAUAAUUUUUGGAAAAUUUGGGAAAAAUAAUCCUCAAAUUCUUAAUGUGUGGGGGUUUGGUUUUGUACUUCCCACCCUAACCUCCAUUAUAUAUAAAUAUGUUUUUAAUUCUUAUUUAAUAAUUUUUAUUUUAUCAACUAUAAUGUCAAUUAAUAAUUUUUUAAAUUUUAUGUAAUAUAAACAUGUUAUGAAUAAAAGAAAACUCUACAAUAUAAUUCUUUUUCAACUCUAAAACAUUAUUAUGUUUUCUUUUCUCUUUUAAAGUGCUGUUAUCUUUAAAUAUUUUUUAGUUUUGAUAUCAUUUUAAGAUAUUGUUUCAAACUUUUAGAGAUUUUUUUAAAAUAAUUAAAAUACUUUAUAAUAUGGUGAUGAUUUUAUUUUAAGUUUCUAAUUUUUAAUUUACUAAAAUCAUAUAUGUAUACCUACUAUAAAAUAUAUAAAUAAGGAAUGGGAUGGAGAUGGAAAUAUAAUUCCCCACAUAGGAAUUCUCCAUCCCCACCCUACUAAAUUUAUUGGGAAAUGGGAUAGGGAAUGGGAUGGGUUUCCCAACCCUCACUCCACCCCAUUGUCAUACCUACUCGUUAUAAUAUUUUAUUGAUUACUAUUUUAUAGUAAAUAAAAUUACUUCAAGGACAAAAAGAAUAUGAGAAUUUACUGUAAACCCAGAUAAUGAGAACUCCAUGAUUGUUUUCCUUUUAAUUUCUGUAGUUAUAAGAACAUUUUGAAAGUUAAAUGGGUUUUACUCUGGAUCACCAAAACUUUGAGCUUUUCUUGAACCUUUUUUUUUUUUUUGGUUUUUAUUUUUCGGUUACAGCCCGCAGAAGUGAUUUUCUCAGUUUUCGAGGCUCGAAAAUUUUGCACAAACAGAGAAAUUUGUGUCUAUACGGAGCUAGCCUUGUUCAAUAAAUAAUAUGAUCAGAGGCUUAUAAAUUACUUCUCCUAAAAUAUUUUACCCAGAUAACUUUUCAAUGCGAAGGAAAUUUUUUAGUUGAUUGCAGCAGUGGAUUCAUGAAGAGAUUUGGCUUGGUUUAUUAAAGAUUUCGGUUGGGGCAAAGAGGUUAAUUACUGUUGCAGUGCUGGGUAAACUAGAUGGUGGUUAUAGGGGUAGUUUCGGGAUUUAGUGUGGUAAAAUAAAUCUAUUUUUUUCUCCCACUUUGGUAACCCUAUUCCCACCUCUAUAUAUAUAUAUAUUUAAGUGAUUUUAAUAUUUUAUCAACUAAACUAACUAGCACUCACUGUGUAACACUAUAAAAUAGUUUUUUUUUAAAGUCUGUUGUACAGAGAUAUUACUGACAUUACAUCAGACAUUACAAUUAAUAUUUACAAUCAUACUAUAUAAUUGGGACCACCAUCAUACAUUGACACACUGAAGUAUAUGUCCAGAUAUUUUAAACCCUCUCUAAUAUUCGAGGGUUGACUGCUCCACUCAUAUUUCGUAAGGGAGAGACUGUCUCCACUUAAUUAAUUGAUAAUUGAGGAAGAACUAAAACUAACCUCCAUAAUGCUCUUAUGAAAGCUCGAACCCUUGCACUCAAUAUUGUAAGUGUAAGGCUUCUCUCAUUGGACCAAAGGUCAAUUGGUACACUAUAAAAUAGUUAAUUUCAGAUUUUUAUACAAAACUUAACUAUAGUUUGAUGAGAUAAAAAUGACGGAUUUGAAUAGCCCCAGUCUUCGUAGUGGAAGUUUUCAAUUUAUACCAACUUUGAGCAGUGUGUAUUAUAUUUUUAUUAUAUAUUUAUUACUACAAAGAUGAAAUGUUGUGGGCCCCUGAUUUUGCUUUGGCGAGUUAAUUUAAUUGUAUAAUUUAAUGCAAUUAAACUAAUUUUGGUUAAGCUUAUCAAAAAGAAAAAAAUAAAACUAAUUAUGGUUAUCACAAUCAGUCUCUUGUUAUCACUUUAAGACUCUUCUAAAAAUCACACUUUUUAUAUUUGUAAUGAUACAACUCACAAACAAAUAACAUUUGGAGAACACAGAUAGAUUAAGCCGGUUGCAGAAGAUUUCAAGCUGGUCUGGUUAAUUAGCAGUGAAGUGAUCUGUAAAUUCCUUAGUUUAAUUUGUUAAUUAAGUUUUUCUUAAUUUUCUGAACUAAUUUAAUUAUAUAUCUUGCAUGCACAUUGAUGAAAUAAGUAGCUUCCUUUUUUUUCCUCUUUCUUUUUUAUGUGAUUUCUUCUCAAUUUCAGAUUAUUAGGGUUUGAAUUUGGGGAGUGACGGAGAGCAGAUCCUUGUCCUAGCCUACUAGCUGAGGUAUGUACAAUUUUAUUUAAUUUUAGUACAUUUUCUCUGUACAAUCAGUGGUGAUAUUUAUCAAUUCAUCAUGCUGAUGAUAAUGGUAUUUUAAAAAUUACGAUUGCUUCCUUCAAGUCAUAGACUAUAAAUUAAUUAUGUAUGUAUUUAAUUUGAUCAGUGAGACUGUCGAUUAAUAAAUCCAAUAGGUUUGCUUAAAUUAUUAAAACUUAUAUACGCUAUAUAAUUUGAAUAUUUCAAUCUUAAUUGCUUCGCGAACAGUUUUGGGUUGCAGUGGGGCUUUUGUUUCUGCUAUAUAAUUAAAAUAUUUUACAAGAUAUUAGUGGAAGCCCUUUAGCCUUGAUCAUAUUAUGCAAGUUGAUAAUGCACGUCAGGAUUUGGUCUUAGAUAGUCUCAGUUUGGUCUUAUCCCCUCCAAGAGAUUUCUUUGUAUGUUUUAAAUGUGUCGCAAGUUCAUUUAUCAUACGGACAUCCGUAUUUAUUAGAAUUUGGAUUUGAGAUUUUACAACAUUGUAGAAUCCCGAAUACACAUUUUAAAACAUAUGGAGGUUCGCGCCUGAUACAUUCACAUAUAUACACAUUUAAAGUAUUUUGUUAAUUUUGAUCCGAAACGAUUAUAAGAAGGAUUUGGAGGAAGUGAUACAUAUGGCAAAGGAAGAAUAUUCGGGCACUAUAUUGAAAGAGAAAGAAUGAGUUUCUUUUAGUUUUUAAGUUGUAUAUAUUGAAAGAGAAAUUGUAGAUAAUAUUAACUUAGAUGCGAUAAUAAAUGAGGUUUUUUGUGUUUUUCUUAUUUACAUUGUAUUAUUAUUGUUAUUUUCCUUAUGUAGUGUAUUUUAACAAUAUCGUUCGUAUAGAACAAACUCCUUUAGAGUAAAUUUAAUUUUUUUUUUAAAUCUAGCCCACCCCCAAAAAAUGAUGCUUGCUUCGCCACAAUUUCUUCUGCAUAGACAUUCGCAUGCUUAAAUUUAGAUUUAGAAAUAUUCAAUUUAUAAAACUCCGAAUUCACAUUUUAAAAAAAUAUGGAUGUCCAUGCUAAAGAAAACUAUACACACACACAUGCAUAUUUCAGAUAUUUUGUUAAUUAUGAUCUGAAUGACUCUGAGAAGGAUUUGGAGGAAGUGAUACACAUGACAAAGGAAGAAUAUUUGGUCCCUCUCAGACGGUAAGCCUUUUAUUAGAGAAAAAGAGAGUAAAGUCAAAGGCUUCAAUCAAUAUUGAUGGAAUCAACUUAUAUUUAUAAGGUCUUGCUUUAACUUGACAAAUUUCAGAAAAACUAUAGAUUGCUCAAAACGUGCUUCCGAUUACCGCGGGGUCUCCAGGUAAUUCUGAUAGUUUCUCUAUGCCACUUAAGUAAUCUGUAGCUGUAUCUUCAAUUAGAGAAUUUCUUCUGUAUCUUUUUUGUACAAACAAUAAGUAAUGCUUUUGAUGAGCAGAAAUCCGAACUUUAAGAAAUGGCAGGCUAGACUAGGAAAAACAAAGCAAACAAAAGCCAUUUACCUUGGAACUUUUGGUGAGUCCUAUAAUUUUAAAAAUCAUCAUAUUUUGUUUUAUAUCAUGAAGCUAAUGGCCGAAAGGUAAUAAUUAGUAUUGGUUAUGUAUCAUCUUGAACUUGUUCCAAUUAUGUAUAUGUUUCUGUUCAAACAAUCAGAAAAUGAAGAGGAAGCUGCCGUAGCUUACGAUAUUGCGGCCAUAAGGGUUAAAGGUGUAGAAGCAAUUACCAAUUUCGAUAAAAGCCAGUAUGAUGUCAAUGGCAUUACUGCGAGUGAAAAGAUACCAAUUGGCAAGGGUGUUUCAAGGUUUAUAAAGGAGAAUUCAGUGAAUGAUGUUCUUAUUAUGAAGAAAAGGAGAACUUCAAGACUUCCCACUUUGUGUCUAAAACGAGAUAGCUCUCAUCAAGUGAUGAUAAACCCACAAUUGGGAUCAUCAUCUCAAAGCUUGGCAUCCUCAGAGGAACAAAGGAAUCAGGUUAAUCAAAUGACUAUUGACGAUUUCAGCCACCAACACCCUAACGAGUUUCAAACUAAUAACUCUUCUGCUGAUGCAAAUUUAGGCAGUGGCCUAGGGUUUUCGAGUGAUGAUGGAGUUCUUGAGGGGCUCGUAGCAAUGAUAAAUGAUGGAGAGAAUCAGCAGUUCACCCAACAGGUCCUAGAUGAUUACCCUAGCUCCUCCCUUAUGAAAGCCUAUGAAAACCCUAACUCUCUUUUUGUUGAUGGCUACCAAAACCCUAGCAACUUCCCCCACCAAGUCCAUCAAAAUGACUUGCAAACUAAUAAUCCUAGUUUCCUUACUCAUCAGUUGGGCGCAGACGGAAGUGGAAGUGCAUCCAGGAUCAAUGAAGGAGUUUCGAGUGAUGGAAUUAUGGAGGGUUGUUCAACACUGAUGGGCAAUGAGGACGAGGAUUUUGCCUUCGAUGACUUUCUUGAUAUGCAACAAAUGUCGACGGAUGGAAACUUUCCAAAAAUGCCAUCUCCAUAAAGCCAAGAUUCUCUGUUUCAACCUAAUGGCAUCCAUUUGGGGGGAAAUUCAAAGAGUAGCCAUGAUGGAGCCAGCAUAGUUUUAGCAAAAGACUACGCGAAGUGGUAGAUGGAGGUUUGUUUUUUAAGACCUUUUUGGUGAUGACUUUGAAUUUUAAUUGCUUCCAGUUCGCUGUAUAGAUGAGUUUGAUGAAAAUUCGUCCGAAAGCUGACUGAGUCAAUCAUCCUCCGAAAUGUCAUUAGUAUCCGGCUGAUUGGAAAAUAAAUUAAAAAUUAAACAAAACAUAAUUAAAUCAAUUGUGAACCGAAUUGAUUGCCCACACCUAUCUCCACUUGUACUCUUUGAAGACUCUAUAAGUGUUUAUAUAUAUAUAUAUAUAUAUAUAUAUAUAUAUAUUCUCAUGAGAAAUUGAAAUAAAAAGUGAAAUUAAAAUUUUUAAUAUAUAGUAAGAGAAUGAGUUAAUGCAAAUAACACAUGAUUUGGAGCGAUGAAUUGCUGCUUUAAUAUCACGAAAAGUGGUAGAAAUGUGGUAAUUUGUGAUAAUUAUAUGAUCAUGACGGAGUGUAAGUAGCAGAAAACCCUUCAAGAUGCCCACCCUAACGUUAUAUAUACUCCUACUGGUAUAGUCAAUUAAUCGCAUUGUUGAAUUUUGACAUGGCAUGCCAGAGAUAGACCAUAUAUGCAGUUCAUGCAUUAAUGGCCACCACAUCCUCCAUCUCCAAAAGCCCUUUUUCUAGUUUCCAAGAGUCAAUCUCCCUUGCUGUAAGCAGUUUUCGAUUUUCUUCGUGAUGAUGAUGCUGCCGCCCACCACUGGAGUGCUCUUCAUCAUGACGAUCCUCAAUCCAUGAGUGUGGCCAAUACCAUGAUCACGACGGUCAUCGCAUGAACCUGCAGGCCUAGAACAAGAGCCAUUUGAUUCCCACGUACCCUUCUGCCGAUAAAGAGCUCAAAUAAAUAGCAAAAUCCGCAACAUCUGAAAGCAAAUGUGCUGCAUCAGUCAAUAUUGCUCCUUUCUUUAUCAAGAACAUCCACAAUUAUGAGUGAAUCAACAAUACUGAUGAGACUGAGACUUUUCGAAUAUUAAUUCUCUUGUCCAGCUCUCUGCAGUUAAUGGAUCAAUGAGAAGAUAUAUAUAUAUUUUUUGGCUUGCAAGUAAGAAAACGGAAAGCGAAGUUAGCCAUGAGUGAAACAUGAAAUUGUGUAAUGCAAAUGUUAGCAACAGCCAACAAACUGCAAGGAAAAUUAAAGCAACAAAAUAUUGAUGGGGAAACUUUAGUGCCUUUAAAUAAGGAUAAAUGCGUGCGAUAUUGUUAAAUUAAAACAUCAUCAGAAUGUGAAAGAAUUGUUAGGUUUAAAGUUGUUGUGAAAUCAAAAUUAAGUGGAUAAAAUGCCCUUGGCUUAGAAGUUAUUGUGUAUCACCAAUGAUGGGAACAACUUAUGUGGCAUAAUUUUUAACACCUUUCUAUCAUAGAAUUUUGUUUUUUUAAUUCAUUUAGACUUCUAUAUUUACUACCCUAUAUCAUUUUUCAUGUGAUGUUUUUGUCUUCGAUGCAAUAUUCUUGUAUAGGGGUGUAAAAUUAGUUAGUUAAGAGUAAUGCUAAGACUCAAAUUAGGACUCAAUUGUUAGAAUCUCUAAUGUUAUUGUAUUUUUUUCAAUCCAAAAUAUGGCUUAUAAAUAAGUUUCUCGAACAACAAAUAUUAAUUGUGUUCAUAUUGUCAGCAUGCAUUUGAUUAAAUAUGCAGUUUUAACUUAAUUAUUAAGUAUUCAAAGUAUUAACUUACACGAGGACUGAUAAUAUGGAAGAUUCUUAUCAUGGAAACAUAUCAAGAAUAACGGAAUGAAAAGCUAAACUUUAGGAAUUGGAAUUGUAACAGAUAAUUAAUUGAUUACUUGAUGAACCAAAUUAAAGGUAUCAAUUCAAUUAAAUAGGAUGAUUUAGGUAUAUAAUCUGACCAGAAAAAUAAAUGGUUAUUGACAUUCAUAGUUGUCUCAUCAUUGCUUUGAUAUAAUUUUAAUUUCACACGCAAAAUUACGAUAAAAGAUUGUCAAUUUCAUGGAUUUGAAAUCCAUAAUUAAUGAGAAUUUUCUUUCUUAUGUUCAAAGUUGACAUUUUGAAUUUUCAAACUGUAUCUUUAUUAAUUUGGAGACAUUUGGCAACAGCUACACAUACUUGCUAAUUAUAUUCAGACUUUAUUUGGAAUAAUUGUGAUGAAAAACAUCUUGUUACUCAAAAUUUCAAGUCACUCACAUGGGUGCUUAACUAAUAUAAUCUCACGUUUAAUUUAACAUUAAUCAUGCAAUAUGAUUCACCUUCCAUAGUUGAACAAAUCUUAAUUAAUAAAACAUCCCUUUGAUCACCCAUAUCUCAUAUUAAUUUAACAUGAAUCACGCCGUAUAAUUGCCUUCCAUAAUAAAAAAGAUUGAGCUCUCAAUAUAUAGAACGUCUCUUCCAUCACCAUUUUUUCAAACUCAAAAUCUUGAUGAUUGUUAUUAUUCCAUGGGAACCCUAAGUAGCCCGAAACCAUGCCUCUCAGAGAGCUCUAGUAUCUCAGCAACAUCUCAGCAACAAGAAGCUCCAAACAAACAAGUUGCUGAAGUAACCGAGCCGAUCCAAACCAAAUCAAAAUUCAAUAUUUUGUUCAAUCAAAAUAUUGCUAUCGAUAAUGUUUCGGUUACUGAAUCUGAAGUUGAGCUCAGGCUUUUCAGCAUGGGUGGUACUUCUAAUCCUCAAGCAAAUGAAUCAUCUUCCCACGAAAGCAUACGUAAAAAGCAGCCGAAACAAAAGGGUUUUUUGUGCAAUUUUUGCAACAAAAUUUUUUCUACUUCUCAAGCAUUAGGGGGACACCAAAACGCACAUAAACAAGAGAGAGCAUUAGCAAAACGACGCAAGGAAAUGGAUAUGGGGGCUUUAGGGCAUCAUCAUUAUCCUUAUUAUCCUUAUUCAUCAAGUGCAGCUCAUCAAAACCCUAAUUUUUAUGGAUCUCUAUUCAACCGAUCAUCACCUCUUGGGGUUAGCAUGCAGCCAAUGAUUCGUAAGCCUUCCUAUCCAUGGGUUCCUCUUUGGGAUCGUUUCGGUGGCCAUGGAAAAACAGUGAUGAAUGCACAGCUAGCUUAUGAUAAAAUGAGGUUGGAGAGUGUUAUGGAAGCUCAAAACGGUGGCGUCCGUGCCGAAUUUCGGAACUUAAAUGGUUCAAGCAUGGCAGCAAAAAGGCCAAACAACGACGGUGGUGACCGUCUAAAGGGAAAUAGUUCAUCACAAAGUAAUCAACAUGAUGAUGAUUCGGGACUUGAUUUGUCUCUUAAACUUUGAUUGUUACUGUCUUUAAUCAAUUUAAGAUCGUUAACUUUUUACUGUUAUUGUAUUUGAGUAGUUGUUUCCCUACUUUGCUAAAUGAAAUUACUUUUAUUAUGAUUAAAUGGUUCUCUUUUGAAACCAAGUUUUUUAAGGCAAAUAUCUUCAAGUUGCCUGCAUGUUAAAUAUUAAUGCUGUUGUUUAUUAACAUAUAUGAUAUAACAUCAAGUCUUUAGGACAUGUGCAUGGUUGAAAAAUUAACUCGUAAUUAAUCUCUUCUCCCUCUUACAUCUUUUAAAAAAUAAAUAAUUUAUUUACUAAUUAAUCUCUUUUCUUUUGUUGGGCCAUAUCACUAUUAACUGUCCUAAAAAUACAUUAUAUUUCACAGAACAAAUUUUUUUUUUUUUUUACAUUGCAUAAUUUCUUAAAAUGACCACCCAAAUUCGAAGAGAGAAAUAAGGAUUAAAAUUUGAUUUUAAAAAAUAAUUAGAUUAUUACUAUUUUUAUUAUUUUUUUCAUUCGUAGGACCUUGGGCAAGAUGAGAUUCUUUGCUAAUAUAUAGAUAUUUUUUUUACCAUAAUGAUUUUCCUUCAAUUUUAGAGUACUUGAUCAUUUGGAAGGAAAGUUGGAUAUUAAAACUCAAUGCCUUUGACUAUUACUGUCACUUUGACAAGCCUUCCAAAAAUGAUAGAAUAUUUACUCACACAUGCCAGUUAUAAUUAUUAUUGAAGACAAUUUGAUCUGCUUUUAAGUAAUAUCAUGCUUUUUCAGGAACCAUGCCUCAGUAAACCCAGUAAAUAGUUAAUCCCAAAAAUAUUUUACCAGACUUUCUCCUGCAUUUUGUCGAUUACAAUAUUAAAAAAGAAAAAUCUUGCUUGGCCAAUAAAUAUCAAAGUAUUUGAUUUUUUUUUAAAAAAAAACAUUUUUAGGCGAACAAUAAAAUUAAUUAAAAUUUUUUAAAAAAUCCCUAAAAGAAAUUCUACUGAAAAAACUAUUUUUUAACAAAACAAAAGAAAAAAAAUUUGAGAAUGAUCAACGAUGAGCUGAUUUUAUGGUUGAGAAACGUGUAACAUAAAUGCCCAAUACAAGCAAAGCCCAAAAACGGGACGAAAUUAGUUCCCAAUCUUUUGCUACAUAUCAACUUGUGGGUUGCUGUGCAUUUGACCAUUUGAUGGACAAUUUUUACCGCAUAAUAAUUGUCUUUUAUUACUGACUCUUCUCACUGUUACAAAUCGUCGGAUACUUUAAUUCAUUAAUGGAUAUGUUAAAAUAGCUAAUAUACAAAGAUAUAAACAGCCAGUUUACUUGCUAGUUAAGGUAGGAUACUGCUAAAACUCCUAGAGUGGAAUCUCCUGCUUACAUGUUUGAUACAAGCUCAAACCACAACACACAAAAACCAAAAGCUUUUGCACAUUUGAAACUUCUUUGAAUUUAAUCUAUUAUGUUCUUUUUUCCAGUUUACAGCUGUUCGUCUUGUCUUCAUAUCAAGCUUCUUCUUAGCUUAUGGUGCAAAUGAAGAAAAAUGGUAAACGAAAAAGAAACAACACAGAUAUACAUAUUGAACACACAGUUACUGUCAACCUUCAAGAAGACCAGACCUCGCGAAGGAGCUCGUACCUCGCAUUUGAGCCAGUGUAAUAUGUAUGAUUCUUGUGUUUACCAUUUCCAUUUUCGGUGGCUAUGAUAGAUGGUGACGGAGGCAAUUUAUCGAUAAUAGAUGAAAGAGGAGAAUCCAGUUCCUCGAGUUCGUCAUCGCUGGUAUAUCCUUUCCUCUGUACCGAAGACACAUUCCUUAACAAAUGAGAUUUGCCUCCUGCCUCUGCAACUUUUUCUGCCACAUCAGUAGAGGAUGGAGGGUUGUACUCGACCGGGGCAGCAGUAUACGGGAAGCUUCUAGCUGAAUCUCCUGAUAAUCUCCGCUCAAUAAUGCUCUAAAUACAUAAAAAAAUAAUCCGAUUACAAAUUUAAUCACUGCCUGUUCUCCAUUUUCAAUUAUAUCUCUGCUUUUCGGUGAUAUAAGAUCUCUAAGGCCACAUAAAGAAAAGUAAUAUUAUUUCUAUAUGCUAUAGCCGUCUAAAACCCAGAAAACUAGAUAUCAUACAAACUUUCACUAGGUACCAUUGGCAAAUUUCAAAAAAAAUCUUGAUGAAAACCAAAGAAUGAUGGUUUCAAGUGUUGGAUGAAUGAUAAUUGAUUAUACAUUCCAUUUUGCUCAACAAAAAUGAAAUUUAAUGAAAUUUAAGCAUAAUAUUUCCAUAUAUGUGUGACGAGACACAAAAAUAAAGGUCAACUCCAUGGACAUAGACUGAAAAAUGAAAUAUGAUCCGAAGCUCAUACCUCAGCAUUCAAUGCCUCCAAUACAGCUCCUGGGACUGCAUCUGGACAGAAUUCAUCUGGAGUAAAGUUGCAAAGUAUCCGUUUAACCAAUGAAAGACUAAUCAAUGGGCACACCUAAAAGAAUGACAAUAGAAAGUUUAAUCUAGCUAUUCUUUCAAUUCAACAGAAAACACAAACAUUAUAAAUUCUAAGUGCAAAUUUGCUUUAAUUAUAAAAUUAACCUCUUGUCUUAUUGAUCGGUCCAUUAGCAUGUCUUUUGGGAGCAUCAGAAGAUCACUAAAAGAAUUAAGAAGAAUAAAGGAUUUAGGUUCACCAACUCCAUCCUGCCCAUCAUCAUCCUCUGUGAAGUCUUCAUCUUCUUUAGGAGAAUCAUCAGUGUCCAUGCCAAACAUAUCAGUAAGCCAUCUAGACCAAUUGCCAACCUGCAUAGACAGUGCUUCAGUUUCAUCACGACUUAAAAAAAAAAAAGGUCAGAGACUUAUAGAUGAUAUUAAUCAGUGAACAAACCACUGCAAUGCAAACUAAACCUAAAUGAAAGCAAUAUUACAAUUAAUAUCUGCAAGAAAAGUCCAUGAAGAAAUCAUUCAAAUAAUGUUGUAUGCAAAUAACAAUAAGUGUUCGUGCAGUACUUGCAAAAGAAUUUCAAUUUAGAUCAGGAUGAAUGUGCUUCUCUUCAUUCUGGGUAAAUGUUGCAAAAAUAUUCAUUAUUCUAAAGAUUGAUAAUUCUGUUUGAUUAAUCAAAACAGAUAACUUGAGAAACAGGUCGCACAUGGACAUGCUUAAAUAAACCACAGGAACCGUGUAAAAGUGAAUUAAAAAUAAUACGUACAGAAUUUUUCAGUUGUGCCCCAGAUCCAAAGCUCAAAUCACCAGCAGGAAUGGGCAAAACUUUGGAAUCUAAUAUAGGAUCUGACACAGGAUCAGUUGGAAUCUCAUUGGCUGACUCACGCAGAAUUGCAUUAAACAUUGCGACAUCUAGUCGGGCAACACACUGUUCCAUAACCUAGUGAUACAAAUUAUAUACAAUUAAAGACCAUAAUGAAAGCAAAGAAACUAAAGCAGAAAUUGGUCAUAUUCUGACAGUCUGCUACAAAGUAACAGAGAAUUUGUUUCUUCUUACCUUAAAAUUUAUGAAAGGCAGGAAAAUAGCGAGUGAAGAAAACACAGAAAACUACAUAUACAUACCAUUCUCCCCAAAACAGGUAAGCAACCACAUUCAUGCCCUCCUGCUCGAACAGGACAAAGUUUUUGAAGAGCAUCCUGAAAAGCAUUUUUCCACAGGUUGAUAGAAAAACUGCCCUGCUGCUGGUCACCUAAGGCUGGUCCUAACAAUUUUCCAAUGGGUUUAGUGGUUGACCCAACAGGAGAUUGCAUAUGAGGAGUCAACGCCUGAAAUGUUAAAAGGGUGCAUCAGAGCCUUUUCAGAUGUAUUGGUACACAAGGAAUCACUACUGAUAAAAAUCUUUAUAAGAACAACAAAAAGAAUGGGAAAGAUUAUUUGCAUUGAUAUUGAAAUUCAUUGUAGCUUCGGCAUAUCACUUAAUCAUCAGUUCAUAAACAUCAAGUUACAGGCUCAAUACUGUUUAAAGAGCCAAAAAAAAAAAAGUAAUAAUGUUAAAUGCGUACUUUCAUUAGAUGAUUUCCAUGAACCAACAGCAACAAAUUAACAUUGUGAGAAGUCUUUACCUGCCACCAUACAGACUCAACUAUCCGGGAGAAAAUCCAAGAUUCAACUUUUUGUAAUGCAGCUAUGAAAGUUCCCAUCUCUUGCCAGUCUUCAUCAAACUGCAGAUGACCAUUUAGUUGUUUAUUACCAGAACCACCCUUCCAUUUCAGUGAUUGAGACUUUCCUUCACUUUUUUUGCUAAACCCAUUUGACUCAGAAAUCCUCGUAACUGGGGUCGAGUUGUGUGAAUUGCCAAAUGCCUGGCAAAUGAUCUCCCUCAGCACAAUGGUGUUUGACAACCAGAAGGUUAACCUUAACAUAAAAAGAAUAAAACAUUGGUAACAUACCAAAAUUAACUACAUAUUGAACUCUGAUACCAAGUAAUACAAUUCUCAUACCUUGAAACAUCAUUACCGCAGGACUUAGCAACCAAAACAAGCCCAGAAACAGAGUUUUUAGCAAUUGUGGCUCGCUUGUUUUGCGUCCAAUGUUUGCAAGCAUGGAUGUAGAUUCUAGAAAGGCGUCGAGCAGGUGAGUGCACCUUGUGUGCUGAACUCCCAUGCUCUGGCACUACAGAAUACAGUGAAAUCUCCAAAGCGGCAACAUCUCUCAGCUCCUCUUCGAGUUUCUCAAUUCUCAGUUCCAUUUCUUCAAUCUUUUGAUUUAAAUUUGCCUCAUCUAUAUGUUCACCACUUUCUUCAGUAUCAACUGUUUCAUUGUCACUUGCAACACUUUGAGCACCAUUCGAGGUCUCAUCUAAAAGAUCAAUUUCUUUCAUCUCUUCAAUAGGCUUAUUGUCAACUCCUUCAGAAGUUUCAGAUGAAGGUUUAGUAGGAACUUUCAUUUCAUUACAACUUUUACCAGAAGAACUUUUGGUAUUAAUACUCAAAGAACCUCUAUCGGGUUUUGUGGGUUUCUUCGGAGUAUUAGGAAAUCCCUUCAUUUCUCGGCCAGAUCUCACCCUUGAUCCUGGAGAAUCAUUCACUGAAGAAUUUUUAAUCUUGGGAACUGUAGAAGAUUUUUUUACUUUCUCACCCUCAACUGACAAUGAAUCCUCUUGUGAGGAUACAGAAUCUUUCACUGUCUCGGAAUCUGAUACCUCUUCCUUCCCCUGCUUCCCUUGUUUCUCAUAAUCAGUUAACUCUUCCGUUCCAUUGGAUUUAAGAUCUAGAGGCACCUCCUCAAAGCUGUUGAGAUCGUCCACAUAUUUUGUAACACCAUUUUCAUAAACUUCAGAGGCCUCUGUGCCUGCAUUCGUAUCACUUACUGCAUUCCCCGAGUCUCGUCUAGUAAUUGAAGCUUUCGUUUCAAUUUGUUUAGCAUUCAAAUUUUUGCCUCCAUUCUCUUGACGCUGUUUCUGCUCCGUCCUUUCAGUUUUAGCAGACCGCCUUGGUUGUUUAUUAUUUAUCUUCCUCUUAUCAACCUCUUUCAUACUUAAGUUAUUUCACCUUUACCAACUACAAACAAAUAUACAAGUUCUAAUACUGAAGAAGGAACAAAAGCCAAAUAACAGCCCUUACAGAUUGAUGUGAGUUUCUCCCCUCGAAGAAAAAACAGAGCCGAUUCUUCAAUUAAACAACAAACCCUGUAUAAUCUGCAACAAGAUAUCAGACUUGAUGAGCACACAGAGGACACCAGAUGCAUUGUGCGUACAUUCUACGUCGGAAUCAAACGAAGAUUAGCCUACAAAGUAUCACAACUUACAGAUGCUACGUGCUAGGAGGAAAGUAAAACGACAACGUUUCAGAUCCAAUUUCCAAACAUGAUCAACAGAAGUAUUAGCAGUUGAAUAUCAAAAACUGAAACUUAAAGAAUUCUUGAUCUGAUCAUAAUUUAAGAUAAUUAAAGUACAAAUCGUACAAGCGAAACUAUCAACGAAUCAAAGCCAAACAAAACAAACCUGAAACUCGGGAUGAACUAAAGCAGAGCAAAAAACAGCAUAAACAAGUUACACUACAAAUUCACAACAAAGUCAAAACCACGGUCCACAGAAAGCGAAAAUUCAGCGGAACGAGACAAGAUCCAGGCAUGAAAAAUGCUCGGCAUCACGUCAUUUUUUCUUUUUUCUCCCAUAACACUACAAAACAAAGCAUAUGCGCUUCGUUUCGUUUCAUUGCAUUUCACUCGUACGUGGUGUCAAUUUCAGCAUGUCGUUUCGCAAAACGACAACUAACGCAAACAAGAAACGCAGUCAAAAAGUAAAUAAGAAUACAAAGCCGAGUAAUAAAUGCAAGCAUCGAACCUACCAGCAAAAGGCGAUGCCCUUCGGGAUUGCCAUGUCACUUUUUUUCUUUUCUGUACGUUGAAUUGCGUGCGGUGUAGAUUGUUCUGAGAACUGGAAGAGUACGGCAGUUGGCAGAGUGGAGUGAGUUAUAGUGAUGAGUGCGGGAAGAGCGGCAUUUUAAAAACGCUGCUGAUAACUGUGAGGAUGCAGUACGGACGGACGUGGGGUGACCUCGAGAGGGGUGUCGGUGGACGGGAGGGUGACCGGUUGUAGCCGGUUACCACCUGCCGCGUUACUCGUAAGGAUUACCGGUAUACCUAAACUGCCAUCAUUCUCGGAUGUUGAAUUUACCAAACUGUAAUUUUCAGUUAACGAUCGAGCUUCUUAACUGUCGCAGUGAGAGAGAGAGUGACUGUGAUUGGCCAUCUACUUAAAAAAUAAAUUAUAUCAUUGAUUAUCAAAUCAUUAGAAUAUAAUGGCACCCUAAUGUACUGUAGUUGGACUAAGAAUAGAACUAGUAUUGGAUAAAUAUCAAAAUAUUUUUUUAUUUAUUUAAAAAUUUUAUUUGUUUUAUAAUAUAAGUUUUAAAAAAUAUCUAUUAAAAUAAUUUUAUAAUUUUAAUAAAUUUUUUAUUCACAAUUAAAUAACUAAAUGUUUAUAAUAACUCCACUUAAACAACUCUUUUGAGUGUAUGACUCCGAAUUGAAAUUGUGAUGUUUUUCAAGAAUUGAUUAUAAAAUUAUCUCUUAUAAAUUAAAUUUUUAGUUCCGUCUCCCUGGUCUUUGAGUCUUCGGACCCGAACUACAUAAUAGAUACUACAAUUAAGGCAAUAAUAGAAAGGGGCCCAUUAUAUAGGGAGCCAGCUGGCUAUCAGCAAUUGAUUAUCGUCUUCUAGGAGAAUCCUAUAAAAGAUAAAUUGCAUUCAAUUUUUUAAGGGCCUACCAAAUUAUCAAUCCAUCCAUUUUCAAUUCAAGUUAUGAAAGGAAUUGAUUUUGUAGGACUUGUUCUGAGAAUCAAAACUUAGCAUUUGAAAUAAAUGGACACAUGGGGCCCGCAAAUUUACUCGACAACUAUAUAUAUAUAACAUGAUAUUAUUACUUAAAGUACAACUCAUAUUACAUGAGAUUAUAAUUGAUAUUUAUAAAUUAGAUUAUUACUGAGACCAACUUAUAUCAAUGCUUAUGGAGUUCUGUUCAGAUUUUAACCCUCACUAAUAUUCAAGGAAUGUCUACUCUACCUUCAUUCAAUUAUACAAUAUAAUUAAAGAAGAAAAUACCCUCACAUUGUGCUUGUGGGAGUUCAAACUUUCGGUCAGCCGAGUACUUGACAACUUAUAUAAAUAAGUAAUAACUAACAAGAGUUGAAAUUUCGAGCUCUGAUGCUAGAUUUUAAAAGGGCGAGUGGUAGAGCCAUCGAACCCCAUAAAAUAUUUACAAAUCAAAUUAUUAUUGAGACCAAUUUAUAUCAAUGUUUAUGGAAUUCUGUUCAGAUUUUAACCCUCACUAAUAUUCAAGGGAUGUCUACUCUACCUUCACUCAAUUAUACAAUAUAAUUAAAGAAUGAAAUACCCUCACAUUGCGCUCGUGGGCGUUCGAACUUUCCUUCGGCCGAGUACUUGACAACUUAUAUAAAUAAGUAACAACUAGCAAGAGUUAAAAUUUCGAGCUCUAAUGCUAGAUUUUAAAAGGGCGAGUGGCAGAGCCAUCGAACCCCAUAAAAUAUUAUUAAACUUAAUUUUUUCUUCAAUUAUGAAAAAUAAUAAUGUGAAAAUAGUUUAUUCAUAAUUAUGUAAUUAUAAAUCUAUUAAUAUUAGUCUCAAAUAAUAUGAGUUGUAAUUUAAAUAAUAAUCUUAUAUAAUUCAUAAAAAAAUAACUUGUAAGUGCAACUUCCUUCGUUCCUUCUUGUGCACAUGACGAGAUGCGGCUGUAGCAAUGGGUUUAUUUCCUUAGUUAGGAUAUAUAUAUUCCAUCAAAAUAUAUUAAAUCUGCAAGUUCAAAUAGCUUUUUUAAUUUUACAAGAGCCACCCUUUAAUUGAACAAAUCUUUGAUGCUAAAGGCGGUGGUGGAUCUUGUCGUGUGACUUGUAGUCACCGGUAAACGCCGGUAAAAUCUUUCUCGUUGAUAAAAGAACGAGGGUAUUAUCGUAAUUGAACGUUCCUCAGUCUGCAUCACCGACAUUGACGCUCAAUUUCAAUCAGAGGAUGUGGAUUGACCCAAAAGUUGUCUCCAGCCAGUCAGAGGCACAAAGGCAAGCUGACGCUGCUAACCCCCCUGCCUCCCACUAGCAAUUUUUUUAGUAAUUAUUAUAUCAAUUAUU